This 53398-nucleotide long non-coding RNA is filed under the name Malus domestica (apple). RNAcentral describes it as "long non-coding RNA (MDOM_LNC008474)". Lineage: Eukaryota; Viridiplantae; Streptophyta; Magnoliopsida; Rosales; Rosaceae. The record is from RNAcentral.
AAGCAGUUAAGAAAAUUAAAUCACAACUCAGAAAUCACAACUGAAGGUAAUCAAUUCAUAUUACAAAUAUAUUCAUGGCUUUGAAUUAACCUCUAGCCAAAAUAAAUUUAGUUACACAUUAUUAUCAAAUUAAACCAAAAGUAAAACAUGGGUUUGAGAAGAUAAAACCAAGAAAAGAAGAUCUGCUGCGUCCGUGCCUUUGUGAUCUGCUUCCUCUUCUCUGACCUUCCCUCUGUGCCGUGCUUUCUGUUUCUUCGCUGCAAGACUCUGACCUGCCAAGGCAGCUCUCUGCUUCCUUAAUUUCCACUCAACCCCUCUCUCCUUAUUCCGCUGUUUUUCUCGCUGCCUAAGGCAGCUUUCUGCUCCCCGCCCCCUUGGUCUUCACUUUUCUCCCUCUUUUUAUUAUUUUCUUUCCCCCUUGGUCUCCCCGUUUGACCUGCCUUCCAUCUCUUUUAUUUUAUAUUUUUCUGCUGUCCAGUCCUCCACUUCAUUCCUCCACUUCCUUUCUUUAUUUCUCCAUUAUUCCCAUACCUUCCCACUUCUUUAUUUUCUCAUAUAUCCCCCUCAGUGCCGCACUUCCUCUUUCAUUUUAUUUCUUCUUCCUGCCAGUCACUCCCUCGGUUUCUCGGUUUCUCCUGCUUCUGUGCUUCUUCCAAUCAGUUUUAUUUUAUUUUCUUUCUUUUCUCCACCAUUCGUGUCUGCCACUUCUUUAUUUCUUUUUUUUAUUUUUCCUUUGCUGCUUGCUGUCAGUCUUUUCAACAUCUCAAUUACCAUCAGGUCGGGUGACAACAUUCCACAUAUAACUAAAGAUAUCUUCACACAAUUUACUGAUACAAUUGAGCAAACACAACCACAAAUACAUUUCAACAAUGAUUACUUAAAAGAUACAACUUCCAUGGCACCGAAAGUAAGCAAUAUCAGAUAAAACGAUUAUUUUAGCAUAUACAUGAAUCAUGAUGAUGUUUCAAACAUCAUCAUGACUCAUCAUUAUUAUUUUUCUUUUUAAUUUUAUUUAAAAGCUGAUCUACACAGACAAUUUUGACGAAUUUAUUACAUAAAAUUUCACUUGUUCUAUUUUUAUUUUCUUUGCUAGACAAAUCCUAUAAUACGCAAAAACAAAGUAAAUAGCUCAAAAAUAUAAGGAACUAACUAAGAAAAGACGAGUGAAUUCGAAGUAAAAAUAUAUAUAAAUAUGAUCCGAUCAAUUAGCUUUGGUUCUACCAGUUGUUACUACUUCAGUUGAGAGAGCUUUUUCUACUAUAAGUAUUGUGAAGACUCCGUUGCGUAACCGAAUGGGAGAUCAAUGGUUGAUAGGAUGGUGGUUUAUAUUGAGAGCAAUGUUUUUUCUUCCAUUGACAAUGAAGCUAUAAUGCAAUGUUUUCAAAAUAUGAAAACACGUCGGGGACUAUUGUAACUUGUGUUGUUAUUUGUUCUAUAAGUUAUGAAUGAUGGAACUAUGGUUUAAUUUUUAAGGUUAUUAUAUGUCUAAGAAAUGUUUGUAAACUUUUACAUGUGACCCCCUAAAAUAUUUUUCCUAGAUCUGCCAUUGGCCGAUGGGUUCCAAAUGAGCGGGCUUGCUGACAUUUAUCAAAAUCCCUAAAUUUGUUGGAAUUAGCUUAAAAUAAAAACUUAGACAACACGAACAAUCCAUGUUGCCGCGCUUCAUGAUAUUCGUCAUCGUUUAUGCUGAAUGAACAAAUUAUCAAAUUGCAAAUGGAGUCGAUACAUAGCAAAAGUGGAGUCAUGGAUCAAGGAGUAGCGAGCCAAGCUCCUCAAGGUUUAUUAGGGGCCAAUGCAGUGGAGGACGAAGUGGCUAUGGCUUGCCAAUAAGGGGAGCACCGCCGCAGGAUCCACCAGGUGUACUAAUAAUUUGAAAACUAAAUCAAAGUGAAAAGCUUUGUCCUUUUUGAAAACUCAAACGAAGAGGGAAGGGGAGGGGUAAGAAAAGAAGGCAAAAGUAGGGCUGGGCACAGGCCGGGCCCACUGGUCCUUUUUUUUUUUGGGAAAAAAAACACCAAAUUUUUACAACAGAUCCAAUCGCCGGCAGCUCAAUUUUCCCUGGUUUUUCCGACUCGUUUGAAUUCAACUUCGAUUUCUUCAAACCCAGCAUGAAAACAUGAAAUUUAGUGGCCGAUUUCAAUAAUGAGAUGGCGAAUUAGCUUGGAGUAGGAUUCUUCAGAUGGGUUGAACUCAAUCGAUGAGGGCUUAAUGGGCACAAGCUUCAUUUUGAAGAACAAGUCGUCGAAUGGAGAGAGUCAGAUUCGGGUUGUCCAUUUUGUCCUGGCUCGACCCAGAAGAGACAAUGAAGUUAAACUCCCCAUCUCAAUCCUUAGUGUCAUCAGACUCCUCGUUGUCGCCGUCGCUGUCAUCUUCUUGCCGAGCUUCCUCGUUGUGGUUUUAAGCAGCCGCUUCGUCUUUGUCGAGGAUGGCGAACUCUAACCAUGUCUAUGUUGUUAAGGACGAGGGUGGCAGCAAGUAAGCCACCGCCGCGCCAGUACUUGAGGAAGCUGAAAGUUUCCAUGGUUGGGAGAGCGAAUAUAAGGCAGAAGAAGUAGGUAUACUGAGUAAUUACAAACAAGUCAGUUUUGGGCCCCCUUUUUCUAUACAUUUGGACCCGACCUGCCCCUAAAACUUUAAGGCCCUACCCUGCCCCGCCUCGUUUCUUUCAUGUAAAAAUUGGAACUGACCCGUACCCGCCCCGACCCACGGUUUCUAUACCCAUUUGCCCACCCCUAGGCAGAAAGGUUGCGUGAUUUAUUUAUUUUUUAAAUCAGGAUUAUUAUUUUAUUAGACUGUAACAAGGAUAAUUUAAGGUUGUUGAUUAAUCCACCCUUAGAUUAAUCUUCAAAUGAAAGAGGAACUCACAGGACCACAUAGGUCCUCAAAAUUAGCUAAGCAUUACUGGACAUUUCAAUGUUUAAAACAUGGGAUAUGAGAUUGUGGUUCAACCUAUAAUUAAUGUAUUUUUGUGUAGUUUAAAAUUCACUAAAAGGUGGAUAGAAGCUAGAAGUAGAACAUGUAAAAAAACUGGUUAAGAGAAGGAAAAAAAAAGGCUUAAUUGGAUUAAUAGUCCUCGUGGUGAUAGGGUAGUUGGAAGAUAACCAUGUUGUAAAAAAAUUAGGAGUUAAGUACCUGUGGUUAGGGGUGGGCAAUCGGAUCCUGGACCCACGGGUAGGGGCGGGUUCAUAUGGGUCAAGGCGGGGCGGGACAGGGCCAUAUAAAUAGCGGGGCGGGGCGGAUCCAAGAAUUUGAAAACACAGGCCCCCAGCCCGAGCCAUUGAUUCCUAACAUUCAAUUAAAUCUUAGCCGCUUGAUCUCCUACUAAUCUCAUGACUCACUCUCGUUUGUUUAUCACUCUCGUCUCGAUCAAGGUCACAACAACAGCAGCAGCAUCAUAUUUCAGCUAAUAACUACCAACUUCUGCUGCUUCUGUUUUUGGCUUUCUUCCCCAAAAGCCCUCUAGAAUGACUCCUUGCCUUCAUUUGGUUUGUGCUUUUCGUCUUUCUGUCUUGCAUUUGGGUUUUUAGUUUUAAAUUUGUCUUUCCCAUUCCCUUUCAACAAUUUUCUCACCUCUUUUUCCCGAGAAACAAGUGAUCAAUAAAAUAAGGCUAGUGGGCAUCUUGCUUUUCACAGUAAGCAACUCUCUUUAUAAAUCUAUUUUUUAUUGAAUUAAAGUUCUUCUCUUCUAUUUUUGUUUUUCCUGAUUAGAAAGAAAGAAACUAAAUUGUUCAGAUUCGGAAAUUUCUCGAUUUAAUUUAGUGAAUUAAUAGUUAAUUAAUUUGUGAAAUUGGAGAGAUGUGUGGUUGUUAUGCAUGUCAAAUUUUAGAUUAUGCAGAAUUACAAAGUGGAAAAGGAAGAUUGAUUGUUCUUUUGCUUGAUCUAUGCACAGGUCUCUAGUCUGAAGCCUUCUUUGGUUUCCGAUAACAGCAUAGCAAAUAGAAAAAUAUUUGGACCCGUAGGAGCAAACGGGCCGGGUUAGGUUCUAUUCCUAUUUCUAAAAUCAUAUUGCCCGACCCGCCCCACCUCGUUUCAUUUACAAUCGGGUCCGGUUCGGUUCCUCCAAUUUUGGGCUCAAUCCCUACCCACCCUUACCUGGUGAAGUCUGUUAGAAUUUAAGCUCAAAAUAUUAAAAAAAAUUCGGCAAUUCUCUGUUAAUUGUUAGCACAUGAGUCUUAUAUAUGAGACUAAAAAUAUAAAGUUACCCUCACAUGUAAGCCCGACAUGCUAACAAUUAACGAAGAGUUCCGUUUUAGUAUAAUAGUGUUCAUGUGCUAAUAAUUAACAAAAAGUUAACGUAAUUUAUAAUUUUGAACAUAAAUUAUAACAAAUUUCACCACAUCGGUUUAAAUUUUAUUUUUUUACUACAUGAGAAGACUAACAAUCCAAUUAGGCCAAAAAAUAAACUGGAUUCAAAUAGCCGGACCGAACAACUAACCAACCCUUCCAUCUUUUGUACAACGACGGUGCAGAAAGCUACACUCACAACUCGAUAGAAAACGCACCUCCUUGAUAGGAGCAUAUUUAUGCGACUUAGUUGGCUUGUUCUUGUGCAUUUAUGUCGUGUUUCCUUAGUUAUUUUAAUGUUUAAAGUCAUUUUCGUGUGUUUUCAGAUUUUAUGGACAAAGUAGGCAAGAAGAUGCAUUUUGGAGCAUUUUGGAGCAAAAUGGGGCUUGGAAUGGAUAGCAAAUGCAUGGGCCAAAGUGGAUGGACGAAUUUGAGAACUAAAGAGGCCAAGAAUAUGAAGAAUUAUGGUCCAAAAGAUGAAGAAAACAGCCCAAAAAUCUGUCACCCCAACUUGCAUUCCUUGCCAUGCAAACCACAUAGAAUUCCCUUUGGAUUCCCAUGCCAUGCUUGAUCACUCUUGUCCCCUACAUAAUUUCUGAUUUCAUGCUUCAAUUCAUUUAAUUAUUACACUCAAUUGCUUGAUACCUCUUGUUCCCUUCACUCAUUAGAUUUUAGACAACAUUUACAUCCAUUACAUGCACCAAUUGAUGCUCCAUCAUUCACAUUUGGAAUCCAAUGCCAUGUGCAACACAUGUUGUUGCACCUUUGACCCAUUUGUUAACACAUUUCACCUCCCUUUCCAUCUCUAUGCAAUGUACACAAUCAUUCAUGCUCCCUAGCUACAACACCACUCCAUUUUACCCUUCACACUUUGCAUCAUUACUUCAUUUUCACCCUUGGACCAUUGCACACCACACACACAAAUUGCCAUCAUUUCAUCCUUAACCUAACCUGAUUUUCUAAGGUUUUUGGGGCCUAUAAAUACAUGUUUACACCCCUUGGCCAAAGGACAAUCCCCCAUAUUCAUAAUUUUAUCACAACAAUUCGUCCAUACACACCCUAGGAAGCAAAACACCCCAAAAACACCAUUCUAGUGCCUAGAAAACAUAACAGCCACUCCACCUUCUUCCACCCUCUUUGCCUAGUUCUCCACCACCCUCCAACCCUCAAACACUCCUCCACACUUACCCUAAACCUUUCCAUACCAUUCCCCAUCCAUUCUACACCAUAAAAACCACUCAAAACUGUCCAAAACCUCUAGUGCCGCUGCUUGCAAGGAAGGAAAGAGAAGGAACAUCUUGUGCCGUGCCUAUGCCCAAGCCUCGGGAGUGUUGGAGCGUUUCUAGGUGUUUUCUAUCUUUGUUUUUAAUGUCUAAAUUUAUGCAUCUUUGCUUUGUAAGUAUGAGGAACUAAACUCCUCUUAGUUAGGGGGUGAUUCGAAACUAUGUUCAUGCUUGCAAUAUGAUUUGAUUACAUCCAGUUGUGAUUCAUAAGUUGUGAAUUCAAUUUACUUAUCCGUUCAUAUAAAAACUGAUUUGUGUAUGUUGGUUGAGAGUGCACGCUUAAUUUUCAUGCAUGAAUUUGACGCUAGAAUAUAAGGGAGUUUCACCUAAUCGUUAUGAACUUAUAUUCACAAGUAGUGAAGGUUGCUAGUCACAAUCACGUUAAGUAAAUUCUUGGCAUAAGUUUCAUGCAAAUCAUAGUAACGAGUGCCUCGUCAAUGCUUAUGUUUUUCAUGGAACUUAAUGAUUCUUGCUUGUAUCUCUAUUAUGCAAUUCAUGUAGGGAACUGUAGGGAAUGUUUUGGGUUGUCGUAUGCGAUCAUCCAACCUAAUAACUUGUGGAAAAACUGAGGGUUAAUUAGUGCAAUUCACGGUUAAUUUGGGGCGUUGAGUAUUCAUAGUUUAUCGAAAAGCAACUGGAAAUCGUUUUGUAUGCAAGUGUGACAUGUGUGGAGAAGAACCUCCUAGCUAGCCUUCCAUCCAUAAGUUUCAUUCAAAUUCAUUUUACAAUCUGUUUUGAUUCACUUAAAUUUGUCUAAGAAUUUGUUUACUUUGUUCUUGUCUUAAUUUAAUUAUUUUCGUCGAAAAUCAACCCCAUCUUAUUUCUUUGAGUCAUAUUAAUUAGAACUUGUCUUAGAUUAUGUUUUUAAGUGUUUUAGUUCAUUAGAAAACCAAAAUUUGUCCAAGUUUGUGAGAGUCCCAAAAUUGCCCAGAUUGUGUUUUUAAGGUAGUUUUGAGUGUUUAGGGGCUGUUUUGAGUCUUUUGGUUUGUUUUAGUGUUGUAAAGUAUAGUUUUGCAUUCUUUGAGUCUAGUUAGUGUUUUAAACUUUGUUUUUACGUUUUCAAGUCAGUUUCCAAGUGAUUUAGCAAUCCCUCCUAAUCCCCGGCCUAGAACGAUCCCUACUUACAUACUUUACUACAAUUGAUAAAAAGAGAGUUUAAUUUGUGUGUUAACUUAUUUUACGCAUCACUCCUGCCUCCUUCCACGGUGGUUCAACCUCUCUCCUCCUUUUUCUACCAGGAAAAUCGAUAAAGUUUCCGAAUCCGACUUUCCAUUUGCUUUCCGACUAAGCAAACAAGAUUUUCACAUCGAUUUUUAUGAAUGAAUGCUACUGUAAAAAGCUUUCAACUUUACUUCGUUUUCCAACUAACCAAACAGGAUUUCAUGUUCUUAGGGUUCACAGCAUGGCGAGGUCUCUUUCGAAUUUGGUCUUCAAGUGGCUUUCGUUUCCCGGCUCGGCUUCUCGUCUUGCCACAACUGUAAGAAUUUGAUUAGGUUUCCCACAUUUGGCUACUAGUAGUAAUUGUAAGGAAAUGAUUUGUAUCAAAACAUGGGUACAUUCUUCAAAAUCACAACAAAAAAAAAAGGAUAUUAAGCUUAAUAACAUUAGUAAAUUUCUUCGAUUAACCUUAAUAUGAAUACAUUUUAAAAUCAAAGAAAAAAAAAUGUACCCAUAUAAGUUUAAAAAUGGAUUAGAAAAAAAUUGAAUAGAUUUUAUAUAAAAAAAAAAAUGGUACAUUUUACAUAUAGUAAAUUGGUAUAUUUAAGAAUGAGUAUAUUUUAAGAUUAAAAAUUUGAAAAAAUUACAUGAAUGGGUACAUAUAUUUCGCAUGGGUACAUUUGGCCAAAAAAAAAGGGUACAAAUAAAUUUAAAAAAAAUAUGGGUACAAAUACAAAUAAAACUUUGAAAAAUAUGGGCACAAAAGGAAAUUAAUAUAUGGGUACAAAUUAAAACUGAAAAGAAAAUUGGUACAAAUUAAAAAAGGGUUACAAAUUAAAAAUGGGUACAAACUAAAACUAAAAAUACAUGAUAAAAAAUUUAGUCAUAAAUAUAAAUAUACUAAUUGUAACAUUUUUAACAUUAAAUGAAUAUAUUUAGAAAUAAAAAAUACUUUAUUAUUGAAAUAAUUAAUGAUGUUAUUAAUACCCAAGGACCUUAAUCAAAAAUUAAAAAUGAAUAGUAAAAGGAAGGAUGAGAACCUAAUUUCUCCAUUUUAUAACCUAUAUGUCAUUUUAUUUUGCAUAUCUUAAUACAAUUAUGUAUAUUUUUUAAGUAUAAAUAGACACUUAUUUAUACAAUAAUAUAAUAAAUUUACUUAAAUCCACUUAGGCGCCUAGGCGCUAGGCCCCAGCUUGCCGCCCGACUAGCACCUAGUGUUUUUUAGAAUCUUGCCUGUUUGUGAUUGAAAUUAUGUUUCGGUACAGAGUUAAUUGGAUUAUCUAUGUUCGAACAUACCCUAAACCUUGCUUGUCAUAUGGAUUGAGAUUUUGAUCACAUGGCAUAUAUUAGAUUGUGUGGCAAGAAACAUUGCUCUUUAUUGUAUAUGUUAUAUGUGUUGAUGCACAAAACCGGAGGUCUUGGAACAACGUAAAUCCGACCGUGAAUCUGCAUGAAAGUAAAUAACACAAGAUGUAUCGUGGUUCACCCCAAGGUUUAGGCUACGUCUAUACUAAUUGUAUUUAUCUGAGAGUAUUUGUGAGGGAGAGAGUGUGAGAGCUUUGCUCUAGAUAGGAGAGACUUAAGGUUUGUGAGGAUGAGGAGGCCCUUCUAUAAAAUAAGGGCUCCUCCCCUAAUUCAGUCCAUGUGUGGGCCGAAGUAACUAGAUGCUGUCUCGAACUGAUGCUAGAUAUGAGGCAGUGCUCAAUCUGAAAUGACGCUCAACUAGAAGUAGCACACGCUGCGAGGCUGCUCGGCUCGUAGCUUAUGUUGCCUUGGUUGGCUCGGCUCGCUCCUCAAUACAUGAAUGAUGGGCUAGAGUUGAUGCUCUCUAAUGAUGGUGAGGGAGUUCCUUUUAUAGAAUAAGGGCUCGUUCCUCAAUACAUAAAUGAUGGGCUAGAGUUGAUGCUCGCGGCGAGGCGGUUGCUCAGUAGGCGGCAAUGCUCUCUAAUGGUGGUGAGGGAGUCCUUUUUAUAGAAUAAGGGCUCACUCCUCAAUACAUAAGUGAUGGGUUAGGAGUGAUGCUCGCGACGAGGCGGUUGCUCAGCUGGCGGCGUUGCUCUCUAAUGAUGGUGAGGGAGUCCCUUUUAUAAAAUAAGGGCUCGCUCCUCAGUACAUGAAUAAUGGGUGCUCUCUAAUGAAAGUGAGGGAGUCCCUUUUAUAGAAUAAGGGCUUGCUCCUCAAUACAUAAGUAAUGGGCUAAGUCCCCUAAGUAUUUUUCAUGAGGCCCAGUUAAGGCCCAAUAUAUGGUACAUAAUGUAGUCUCUCAAGUCUUCGAUCAAUAGAGUCUGUUGGCUGGAGACUUCAAAUUGAAUCCAUGUGUGGGCCGAAAUGGCGGUUGUUCGGAGGCGAUAUUUGUAUACCCUGCACUGAGGCUUUGUAGGUGAAGCUUUGCAAGUGAAGCUUUGAAGCUAGAGCUCUGUAAAUGAAGCUUUUGAAGCUAGAGCUUUUGUAAAUGAAGCUUUUGAAGCUGUAGCUCUGUACAUGAAGCUUUUGAAGUUAGAGCUUUGGUAAAUGAAGCUUUUGAAGCUGUAGCUCUGUAAAUGAAGCUUUCGAAGCUAGAGCUUUUGUAAAUGAAGCUUUUGAAGCUGAUUGACAUGAGUGAUGCUCAUGAAUGUUUGAUUGACGUGAGUGAUGCUCAUGAAUGUUUAUGUAUGAUUGAUAUGAGUGAUGCUUAUGAAUGUUUAUGUAUGAUUAACAUGAAUAAUGCUCAUGUAUAAUAUGAAGUACUGGGCGUACUUUUGAUCACCUGGUUGGUGGCAUGAAGGAGAGUACGGGUUGUACAUUUCAUCACCUGGUUGGUGGCAUGAAUGGCUAGUUGCCAAAUGAUAUUAGAGUACGGGUUGUACAUUUCAUCACCUGGUUGGUGGUAAUAACGGCAGGUUGCCGAAUAAUUUUGGAGUACUGGGCGUACUUUUAAUCAACUGAUUGGUGGUAAUAGCGGCAGGUUGCCGAAUAAUUUUGAAGUACUGGGUGUACUUUUGAUCACCUGGUUGGAGCUAUUUUGGGCUUAUGGGCCUUCGCCCUCCACAACAUGCCAGCCCAUUUAUUUUGGGCUUUGCUUUUUUUUUUUUGGUAUUAUUACCCUUUGAUAAGGUUUAUACAGAUGUCUCCGAGAGAUAAGAAAAAUGAAUUACAUCAUUUUAAAGUAAGGAAAAUAAAUCACAUCAUUCUGGUAGGGUGUUUAUUCCUUACUUUUGCUUUCUGCUUUCCGUCGCACUCUCUGUCUCUUCACCUGGUAGACAAAAGGAAUCAUAAUAAUAAGAAAUUUUUUUUGCUUUUCUUCUUUUGCUUUUCUUUCUCUUUUCCAUUCCCUGCAUAUUAAAACGUAACAGGAUAGCUUUGAUACCACCCACUUGCUUUCUUUUGCUUUUUCUCUAACGUGACAACUGCUUGGACACUGAUAUUUCUGUGGUAAUAAUUGCAGCCAAAGUGACAACUGCUUUUUGCAUGUCGGUGAGAACACCAAUAGGCUCAACAACACAGUCAGCACCGGCCUCACCCCAUGAGAUCUCCUAUGGGUUCCUAAUUCUGAAAACAGCAACAGGCUUCUCACCGAAGAGGAGGGUCUUGGAGUGACCUUGAGCUCAUGGUGCUUCCAUGCGCCAUGCACUGUGUUGUACUUGAACAUAUAGGUCAUGUAGUCGGUGGUAAUGAAGGCAAUCUCUUCAAUCUGCAAAACAGUGUUGGGUCCUUCUGGAUCUGCAUAUUUGACGGGCUAAAUUGAUCAUCUGAUGGCAAUCUCUUCAAUCUUAAUAUUUAAUGUCAGUUUAAAUUGAUCCAGAUCUGCAAACCAGUGUUGGGUCCUUCUCCUUUUAGGCAUUUCUGUCAGGAAACCUCCACAACUCAGCUGAAUAUCCUAACCUCUCUAAGUUUGUGACUAGUCUAGCAGACUGUGUCGUCUUCCCACACCGAUCUAAGCCUUCAAGAACAACCAAGGCACCUCUUGAAUCCUCAUUUCCACAUUUUUAGGCUAUAGUUCUGAUUUUUACCUUCUAUCCGAAUCUGCCUGACUAAAACAUUGCAAGCAAAGUAUGAUUGAAAGCCCAAUGACCUUCGUACUGCUCUGGCUCCAAAGUUUAAAGCUUGCAAGCUGCAUGAUUCUGCCGACCAGUGAGGUAUCCGUAGUGCAGGGAAGGGAGGCGCCGGGGGAGAUGGGUGAGGCCGGGGAGAAUGGCGGCGGUGUUGACGAUGUUGUUCUUCUUCGGGGCUCUUUCAUCGUCUGAUGAUGAACUGGACUCGUCCUCUACCUCAUCUCCCGACCCAACUUUGGUCGGACCAACAUCCUCCGGCUUUCUUUCACUGUCCAUUGGAGACCUGGCGUCGAUGCCCCUGACAGGACGCAGCUUCUGGGGAGGCGAGGGAACCGUAGGCCACGAAUUCUCGAACAUAAGCUCGUCUGUGUUCUCAGGGAGCGGGGAUAUCUGCUCUCCAAAGACGUCAGGGUCUUUUGCCUAGUAGCAGAAAGGGCAGAUCCAGAUGGGCUCAGAGACGUGGAUUUUUGCGCUAGUAGCAGAAAGGGCAAAUCCAGAUUUUGGCAGUGAAGCGGAUCGGGAAGAUGUAGACGGCCAGUGGGAUCACGCAUUUGCUAGCCUCCAGGGAAGGGAGGAGAGAGAAAGAUGAGGACGUCAGUGGUGGUGGAAGUCUCAGGGCGCGACAACAGAUAUCAAAACCUCAAGCAUAAAAGUGCUUUUGGGUACUUUCACUGGCUUAGUAAUCAGAGGACGGGUUGAGCUUCUUGGCUUCGGUGAUGCUGUUGGUUUUAAGCUCGCUGCUUCUGCUUAUUUUCAGCCCACUUCUGUUUUUUGCUGGGUUUAUGUUUGUCGGAGCCUUUGGCUGGGUUUGCUCUGGCUGCUGCCUUGGCUUUUACGGGGUGACUACUCUAAGAUGGAUUUUUCAGAAGCUUGCCGGUAUAAGGCUUUUGGGAUUUUUGCAGAUUCACAGUGGUGAGAUGAAAAAAUGAAAGAGAACCGACACAACUUUUCGGAUCGAUUCCCACAAACGGCGCCAAAUGUUAAUGCACAAAACCGGAGGUCUUGGAACAACGUAAAUUCGACCGUGAAUCUGCAUGAAAGUAAAUAACACAAGAUGUAUCAUGGUUCACCCCAAGGUUUAGGCUACGUCCACACUGAUUGUAUUUAUCUGAGAGUAUUUGUGAGGGAGAGAGUGUGAGAGUCUUGCUCUAGAUAGGAGAGACUUAGGGUUUGUGAGGGUGAGGAGACCCUUUUAUAGAAUAAAGGCUCCUUCCCUAAUUACAUAUUUGCCCCUUCUCUUAUUACAUAAUUACAUUUAAGUCCUUCGAGUAUUUAUACGAGGUCUAAAUACAAGGCCCUAAAUAUUGUAUAAAACAAUAUGCUUGCAUUUUUUACCAGGCCAUGUAUAGGAAUGUGUGCGUAUCUGUGCGAGUGUAUAUGUUUGUAACAACACAUUAAUCCGCGGCAUGUUUUGAAUUUGGUUCAUGUAUGCUUCAUACUUGUUGAUGAUAACAUUUAAUGGUUUCUUUGGUGGUAGGCACCUGCAUCCUUUUAUCCCAGUGGCAUGAGAUACAAUACCAGUGUGCCAAAUGAGCCCGACACGCAUGAUGAUUUUAAACCAACUAAUAAACUUGAGAGUUUUGACCUUAGUUUGAAGGCCUUGUUGAACAGGUAUGUAUGCCAAACCAAUCUUCUUAACAUAAGUUUUUAUCUUCCCUUUGUCAUCUGGAUAGGGAUGGGCAAAUACCCAUCGGUUAUGGGUAACCACGGUUACCCGUCCAUUUAAAUUUCACGGUUAUGGUUAUGGGUAACCGUUUAGAUAAAUAAACGGUUAUGGGUAUAACCGUUUACCUGUGAAAUUUAAAUUGGCAGUUAUGGGUAUUAACCGCGGUUAUAAACGGGUAACCAUUUACCCAUUUAUUUUAUAUAUGUAAAAUUAACACAAAUCAUGUUCCCUAUCGGACAAAACUUAGAUCAAUGCUAUUGACCAUAGUUCAUGAUUUCUAUAGCUAAUAUAAUAUAGUUUUCUUUAACCACUUUAAAUUUCAUGUGUGACGACCCGUCCCUAUAUUAUUUAUGUAAUUUAUUUCCGACUAUGUGAAAUGACUAUUACGCCCUUAUUGGCAAGUGACAUGGACGUAUUUAUAUCGCUUUUAUUUUAUUUCUCGCUAUCGCAAUUAAAUUGUACACAUUAUUACGAGUGUCCGAGAAUUUCUACCAAUGUAAUAACACUGUUACGGAUAGGUUUCAUUCCCUUUUACUAUAGAAAAUUUGAAAAUUUACCCCGAGCUUUCUUUAAAACCUACCCCGUGCCUUUUCCUUGUCAUUCACCAGUCAAAUAUCUUCCAAAACCUUCUCCUCCAUUCAUUUUUCCUGUUUUUCCUCCUAGCCAAUCAAGUGCCUUUCCUCAAUUUUGGCACCCAAUUAGUGAUCACACUUCCACAAACCUUCACCCAAUCAGAAAAUGCAAGUCACUCUCUCUCUCUCCCCGAAUGUCUCUCUCUCACCCUUUUCUCUGCAACAAGGAAGACCAACCCCAAAUCUUCACUGUUCCGAACUCGGACGAGUUGAGUUCGACGUGUUUUCAACCGAGUCACGAUGUUUUAGGACCUGGGAAAGCCUCUACACAACUCCCUACGGUCCCUAGUCAAGGUUUGAGGAAGCUUUGACGUGAAACAACUCGGUUUCGAGAAGUUCAAGUUUGACCCGUGCCUUUCGAGCCAAUUUCUGGCCAAACCACGACAAUUUGGCCAGCGUGCAAGGUAUCAAUUUCUUCGUCUCACUGAGUACUACAACUUUCCUUUUUCUUUCACCGAAAGUCGUUGAGUAUUGAAGAAGUUAUACUCAUUUGAAUCUUACCCAGUUUUUUUGCGACCUCCACGCUUUCGAGGUGAUUUCCGGCCAAACCACGACGAGUUAGAUGUCAUGCAAGGUACCAUUCUCUUCGUCUCUUUGAGAACUACAACUUUCAUUUUUGAAUAACUCAAUUUCGUUGAGUAUUGACAACGUUAUUAACGUUUAAAGGUUGUUCAGUUUUUUUGCUGAAUCCGGCCUUCCCUUCCGUUUAGCUCCGGCGAGCAACAACCCAAACCCAGGCCCUUUGGGCCAUUCUUGCCAAGCCCAAAACCCUGGGCAGCCCAACCUAACCCUUUUUUUUAUUAUUAUUAUUUGGUUAAUUAAAGGCUUUUGGGCCAUUUCCUUUUAGGGCUUUAAGCUCAUGCAUUUUAAACCCUAAACCCUUUUAGUUUAGGCCUUUAGGCCUAAAACCCUUAAGUCCAACCUAUUAAACUAACCCAACCUAAUAACCCUUAACCCAGAUGAAAUAUUCCGUUAGGGAAUAUUCCAUCCGUCAGGGAACAUUCCGUCCUUCAGGAAAUUUAAGCGGGACCCUUCUUAGGGUAAUUCGACGUCCUGAAUCCAUUUUUGACGUCCGUUUUCCCAAAUUCAAUCGUUAUAAUAUAGUUUUAUUAAUUGUACAUUUAUGUGCUUAGGGGCAAUUAUUAGUGGUGUUUGCAUCUUCGCUAGGUUGCGUGGCUCGUCAGCGGCGAAGUCUCUGUGAGUGGGCAUUUUAUUUUAUACCUAUACAUAUUGAUAGUUUCCCUAAAUGCGUAGUUACUUCACUUUUACGCUUAUAUUGCCUAGUAUUCGAUAUUGUGAUAUGAAUUGUGAUAAAUGCUACUAUAUGGUUAGGAUAUCAUUGUCAUGACAUUCAUACAUAUUUGUACAUGCUCAUCUUCCUACACCCGGAUGUUAGUACUCCGCCCAGGGCCAGGGCCAGUCCUUCACAUGUAUGUUCACAUCCGCACCAUUCGCUCACCUUGGAUCCAAAUUGGGUGCUAGUCCUGUCGGGUAGAUUGCAUUAGGCAAUCCGACUUGUAUGUGACCGUGCUUCUGCACCACUCUUUGUGUGAUCGUAGUACUAGAGCGCAUUGAUUACACCCAGUUCUGUUGGGUAGAAUUGCCUUAGGCUGUUCCGACUCGUGUGCUAGCUUAGAUGAUGAACAAACUACUUAUAAUUGAUUAUCACAUGAUUAUAUUACUUUGGCAUUUGAUAAUUCAUGACUUGGCAUAUUUCUAGUUAUAUUGCUGUUAUAUUUGAUUUCAUACUUACGUAGUAUGUUUUGAGGAAACUAUACUUGUUUUACGGCGAGGGGUUAGUAUAUUCAAAAAUAAAGGUUUUCGUAUAAGCAUUGUUUUGCUACCCACUCAACUUUGUUUUUCGCCCCUCCAGGUUUAGUAGCUGUGUUUACGCGUAUACGAGGAUUCUAGCAAAUCUCAGGAGAAGGUUACCUUCAGUGGUAUAACCAUCAUCCUAUUUACUAUAUUGUCUUAUGCUCUGACAUCACGUGUGAAAAGGGUUCAAUCCCGCUCACCCGCGCACUCUUUUGAUUAGGCACUUUUAGGUUUAAUUUAUUCACUUUUUCCACAUCACUAAACUUUAUGGCUUCGUCACCUUCCAGGUGUCGGCCAGGACAACUCAAUUUGGAGUCCAAGUAGACAUUCCGGGUCGGGGUGUGUCAUCAUAGUCCAUUAUAUAUAUUAUGUUAAUAUUUUACAUUCCGAGUUAAAUAACCCAAGAAUACUGUCUUUUAACAGUUUUCGUGACCCAAGAAUACUUAGCAAAUUUUAUAUUACCUUCAUUGCUAAAAGUUAAAAAUAUCGUCUGUAAAUUAUUAUUUCAAUUAUUGGAAUGGUAUAAAGAUUUAAAAAAUUAAAAUGCGGAAAUGUAUGAUGAAUGUACCUAUAACGGUGUUUAAUUGUUAGAAAAAAAAAAUUAUGACAAAUUUUUCUUUUUUAAUUUUCAAGUUGUUAAAAAAAACACGUAGACAGGUGAAAAAGGAGUAAAUGGUGAAAAAGAAAGGAUAAACGGGUUUAAAAAUGAUAAAUGGGUAAACGGGUAUUAAACGGUUGUGAUUAAAUUGGUACACGGUUAUGAGUAUGGUUAACCGUUUAUAAACGGUUAUGGGUAUGGGUAUAACCGUUUAGACAAUUACCGAACGGGUAAACGGUUAUACGGGUAUGGAAAUAAACGGUUAUGGAUAAAUAACUGUGGUUACCCACCUGCCAUAACCGUUGCCCAUCCUUACAUCUGGACGAAGGUUAAUUGUCCUUUACGUUAAAUAAUUCUGGUAUGUUUCUGGCGUAGGACGUCAAGGACAACCCUGUAAUGCUUUAUAUGAAAGGAGUGCCUGAACUUCCUCAAUGUGGAUUCAGCUCACUUGCCGUUAGAGUAUUAAAACUAUAUCGUAAGUGCCAAGUCGUUCAAUACUCCUUCAUUCAUUCAUGGCUUUCUAAAGUUCAUUUAGCAAUCAAAUCUAGCUAUGUAUGAACGGAAUAACUGAAAUGAAUGCAUAGUGAUAUCACUAUCUUCAUGAAUCAUGAUUGCUCAUAUGUUCCAUCAAAGUGGGACGCCACUAGCUGAAGAUAGAUAUAAAUAGCUUGCCAGUGUCAAGCAUAUCCAUACAGGUGCAUUUGAUACUUCCUGCAUAAAGAGUGUCAGUUUUGUACAAAUACGUGAUGCACCUAAUCAAUUAGAAUUGUCAGAAAUGGCUAAAACGUAAAGUAAUCCAGAAUGGAGUAGAGUACUGUUUCAGGUGCAGUGACUGACAGAUUGUAUUAAUUUUCUUUUCAAGUUUACAUAUUGAAUGAAGUAAGUUGAGUGAAGCUCUUCUUAUUUGUUGUACUUUUCAAGUCUUGGAAUUUUAAUUCAAUAGGUAGUUCAACUAGAAAUUAUGAAGGAACGGGUUCUAUGUUACCGAGUAUAGCUUGAGUUUACGAACAAACAUGACUACUAAAUAGCUACUAAAUUUCAUUUCUUGUUUUGCAUUGCCGCUAACUAUUUUCUUAUGAUUAUUGUGGACUUUGCAGAAGUUCCCUUGGCCUGUAGAAAGAUAGAAUGACACAUUUUCAAGAGAAGAAGUCUGAAAAAGUUGUUGAAUUUGGAGGGUAGAAUGAUACAUUUCACCCAUGUUCAUUUUUUCACAUAUUUGGAUAGUAUGUGUCGAUACGAACGCAUGGGGGCAAACGGAAUGAAAUUUGGAGCUAGAAUGAAAGAUUGUACGAGGCUCAGCUUUUUUUUGGUUGCUGAAAGAUUACAAAUAUGUGGGAUUAUGUAUCACUAGAGUUAAUAAACCUAAUUUUAUUAUGUCAAGAGUAAUAAAACUCGCUUUUUUAUUCAUCUCCUUUCGUCCUCCUGCAAUAUAUCUGGUUUUCAUGUGAGAAUUGGGUUUGAGUUAGUUGUUCUGGUGCCUAGGAUUGGAUGAGAAUGGGUGUGACCUUCACAUGCGCUUUUCCCAUCCUUCGGAGGGUCCCGAGACCACCCAGGUUCCUAUGUGGAUCUGCCCGUGCCUACACACCUUUGUUUAUUUCCCUCCUCUAAAAUAAGAUGUCAGCCAACAACUUUCAUUACUGGAGUGAAAAUCAAACCUGAUUGCAAACAAAGAAAUGCUUUUUCAUAAGCAUCAAGAAAAAAAAAAAUUAAUUGAAGAUUUAGGGAAAUUAUAACAACUAUAGUUGCUAUCCAAUUUAUUUAUGAUUUUUCAUUAUUCUGUUUUUUAUAAGCGAUAAAAGGAGGGGGUGUGCUUAGCUUCACAAUAGGUUAGCAAUAAUAUGGUUCAAAUUUGCCUUUGGCAAGAAUCAAACCUAAGACCUCUCACUUACCACUAAAUGGCCUGGUGGGGCUUUAAAUCUUGACGGAGCCACUAUUUCCGAAGUCAAAGCUAAAGGUCUAAUAGAGGGCCUAAUGUUUGCUCUUAGAAAGGGUGUGUCGAAGAUCAUGGUGGAAGGCGAUUCCAAGCUAGUCAUCCAGGCUAUGCAAGGAGUGUGCUCGGUUUCAUGGAAUCUAGAGCAUACCAUUGAAGAUAUUAAAUGGAUGGUGACCAAAUUUAGCAUUAUCUCUUAGACCCAUAUCUUUAGAGAGGCAAACUUUGUUGUUGAUGCCUUUGCUCGUCAGGGCUUCUAAUAACUGGUUGUCAUAUGUGGGAGCAUCAUGUUCUUCCUUUUGCUUUAGAUGCUUUUCAUUUUAAUUCUGUUGGGAACGGUUAUUAGGGUCGGACAAUGUUUCAAAACAAAUCUACUUCUAACUAUCUGAGAGACAACAUUAACUGAUGCCACUAGUACAUGAGCCUGCGAUGAUUGCAAGACCAUCCUGCACGGAUGAUGCCGACAAACUGCAGUUCUUGUCUCAGAGUCCCAAUUUCACAGCUCAAGUAUUUUCCAACAUCUCAAUACAGCAACGAGGGUUCCCAAACCAAGCAAGCUGAUUUUACACAUUGCAAUGAAAAUAGUAAUCUUUUACUCUGAAAAUUUUGUCGAGGUGUUUAGCAGCGUUGCAACAUUUUUCAUUUCCCUGAGCUUGCUUAACAUAAAUAUUGAAGCAUAUAUUCAUUGGAAGAACAUGUCUCUUUCAAAUCCUGAUGUGUUCUUGUUAUUGCCGUCUGUAGGGAUUUUAAAGCAGGAAGCAGCUUUCUAGAGUUUUGUUGAAUAGAGUUACCAUGAACUUUGCAGAGCUCCUGCAAGACAAAACAUACGCAAACCAUCAGUGAGAUCCUGCUAUGAAAACAAUGCUACUGUAACGCGUUCACAGCAUCUGAACUCAGUAGAAACGGAAGCCAAUAAAAGUACCUGACACCACCGAAGUAUGAACUCCAAAUGUGGGCGACUUUCUAACAGAUCUGCAAAUGCCUCAAUUAACCUUUGCAAAUAUCUGUACGGAAUUGAUGAGACGACAGCAGGGAUGUCUAUCGGACUAACUUUGAAAAUACACUUUUUAAUUAGACUGUCUUCGUUUAAUCUGAGACUAAGGAUUAAAGCCUUGCUCAAUUUAUCUUCAUUGCGUGCAGCAUCAACAGCCUGCAGAACAAUGUAAUCAGGAAAUAAAUGAAAAGAAAACAAAAUUGAAGGUAGAAAUAUACAAAAACUAAAAAAAUUAGUGCCAUUUUAACAAAGGGUCUCACUAUUAGUAUUUACCUCCAAAUUUUCUCGCAAGCCUUCCAAUCAUGAAUUCAUUAAUAUCCAUUAUAAACCUUGGCCUCGUUUGGCAUGCCAUAUAAGACCACCGGAUAGUACUAAUAAUACGAAGCGGAUGUUUGGUGAACGUCGUAUUAAAUAAGCACCGUAUUACUUAAUCCGGCCCCACUUGUUUUAUCCCCUUCAUACCUGCUUGUUUAUCCCGUCCCAAACCUCUGUAUUAUUAGUCGGGUGCAUCUCUCUCGCUCACACUGGCUCACUCCGUCCCUCUCUCACGCACUCUCCUUCAACUCUGUCCCAUCACCUGCUAUCUCUCGUCUACUUCCAAGUUCGUCUUCGUCGCCAUUUUUUUUUUUCUGUCUCUCUUCCUUCCUCCUUCUUUGCACACACACCCCCACCUCUUUGUUCGCCUUUGAUUUCUGACAACAAAACAUUCCAUGGGUUGAAGGAGGAAGAUGAUGAUUCAAAUUCUUUCGAUCUGGACUCCAAUGACGAGAAGGAUGACGAGAAAGGGAGCUAGGCUCCGACGAGGAGGGGGAUAGCAACUCGGAUCUGGGCUCCGAUAAGGAAGGGAGCUGGGCUCUGACGAGGAGGGGGACAAGAAUUCGAAUAUAGGCUCCGAGUUAUCGACCCUGGCCGCUACUCCUCUGCAAUCGGUCGUCGAUGGUGGGAUUGAUGCGCGAGGAAGAUGGUGAAGAAGAAGGGUGCGACUGAGAAGAGUCCUGGGUUUUUUAUUCUUAUGUUUUUCUUUUUUUUUUAUUGUUUUUUCUUCCUUUUGUUUUUGUUUUGUUUAAUUUUAACAACAAUUAUUGUGAAUUUAAAAAAAAAAUAUUAUAGUCCGACGUAUUAUCCGAUGCAUAAAUUAAUCCGAUACAAUACCAAACGCCCGACUAAUUUAGUCAGUAUUAUCCGACGACUAUUUAUCCUAUCCGACUGAAAUAGUCAGUACAGUCCGAGCUGCCAAACGAGGCCCUUGUAUACAAUCUAUAUCUCUCUCUCCUCCCCAUCCACUCUCCCUGCCACCGUCAUCCAGUAGCUCUCCCCAAAGUACUGGUUUGGUACUAAGGUACUUUUAUAAAAAGUGGGUAUCAAAAAAACCUGAGCUCAAAAAGGUGUUUGAUAAACACUUAAAACAGCUUAUUUUCACAAUUUUGGAUGGCCAUGAAACCGGAGGGAAAAGAGUGCAAUCAAUGGGAGAGGAAGGAGGAGGAUAUGGGGGUGAGAUGACCAGAGGGGAAAGGGUGCUGUGUAAAACUCUUAUGUGAAUGACAAUGAGUUAUGCCGAGAAUAAUGGAGAACUAAGACGACUUGACUUACAAGUCAUGGAUACGCUUAAGGAUUCUCGGAGGCCUAGUGUUACAAAUAUAUUGGAGUCGUAAUAAGUAUCAUGGUAAGACUAAUUGAUUUGAUAGUAUUUGGGUGAAUAUCCUUUACGAUAAUAGGGAGGAAUUGAUUGAAACCCUAGUUAUAAAACUAAUUUUUACAGCACAACAAAAACAGUUUUUUUUUCAAAGCACAGCAAUACCAAACCAGCCCUAACUUUGGAACAGAGGCACCUUUGUUCCAGGUGCCCAUGGGGCCUCCUCUAGGUUCAAAGGUGGACAGUCUACCUAGUUUUUCUUCAAUUAAGUUUAUGUUUUUAUCAGACAAAUAUUGAUGUUUAAUUCGAGCAAUUGUAUUCUGGUGGCAUACUGAGUUUUAACAAAACAAAGCUUUAAAAAUGUUUCAUGGGUAAUCUGAGUAGAGGGAAUUUUGUAAUAUUUCAAAGUUUCACCAAGUACCUCAGGUGUGACAUCUAUGUCAAGAUCAGUUGGGUCAAAGAUAAAGGAAUCAUCAAUUGAAUAAACUAGAACUCCCUCUGUUGUUGCUGCUGAGAAGCUCCGACCAGUGGGGGCAAUUCUCAAGCAUUUUGUUCUAACAACCAGCCUUCCAUGGUUAGGCAUGGAUCCUGGUAAAUCAUAACCCAACUUUCCCUGGGUUUGCUUGUCAACACCGUCUUCUAUAUAUCGUCAAUUAAAUCCAGUGGUCCAGCAUCUGUCAUAUUCUUUGAGUUUAAGAAGUCAAGAACUCCAUCCAAAGAUACAUUGUGAGUUAUUUGAAACCUCCGCAGCAACACCUGCGAAAAUAAAUUCACUACAUCAAUAGACCUAAAAACUUUGAGGUUUGAACAUAAUGAAGAAGUGGAGUUCCUCUACAAGUUAGUUUUAGAGGAAUACAAUGGUACCCAGUGACGCAGACAGGAGAUGUACCCAAUCACCGAUACAUAUACAAUACAGACAAGGAAAAUUAUAUACACCCUAACUUCUCUUUUCCCAACUUACAUGGCAUUCUCACACUGGAAUUAAAAACAUUGUUGUUUUACCAAUGCAAUGAUAUAUUUCUCAACUGUGGGAAAAAAAAAAGCAUUGGGAGAAAAAAGUUGGUGUAUUUUCUAAAGAAUAAGUUUAGAUGAUUGAUGUAGAAACAAGCAGAUUGUAGCAGGUUUAAGGCCAGAAAAAAUCUACCAAAGAGCAUAUGCAUACAAGACGUCAAAAGAAAUAAGCAUACAGAAGUUAGAAAAAAACGCCUAUUAUUUCAAAAAUGAUAUACAACAAACUGCUUAAAGUUCAUCCUAAACUCGAAUGAAAUGGAGUAUUCAGGUAACCAUGGAAGUUGCACAGCCCUAAUCAAAGUUCUCAUUAGAUGUUUGAUGUUCUGAAUAUGUGACUUAUACUUGGAGAAAUCUUAAUUCAUUGGGACACUGGCCAAGAGGUGGAAAGUUGUACAGCUCUUUUAAUAAACCUCAUCACAUUUUGGCUAAAGUUGCAAUAAAUCAAAGUAAAUAACAGUAUCUUAUGUAAGAAUGUGUAGACCCAACUGUUAAUGAAAAUAUAGCUCAUGCUUUUCCAAGCAGUUUCUUCAAGCAUAAAAAAGAUGCAAGAGGUGUGUGUGCAUAACUGCAUAUAGCUUGAUGUUAAGGUCUUGAUGUGCCAGCCAGAAAACGAAACAGCAACAGAAAAUGCAAAAAAUGAAAGCUUGAGAAACAUCAUCGAGUGUGAAUUAUGCUGUUCAAAGCUUGCCCAUGUAAGAAACUAACCUGAUCAGCAACAUCAUACAUGCAGAUGUAUUUGCUACUUCCUCCAGCUAAUAUGUAACUCCCAUCAGCUGAAUAACAUAAAGUUGUGAAGAAUUUUCCUGAACUUGAGUUGGCAGCUGAUCUACAAUCUGUCAUAAGACGACCUCCAGAAAUAUCCCUACGGCCCUCAAUGGUAUACAUUAAUAAACCAUCAAUUGGGUCCCAGAAAUGAAUUUGACCAUCUAAUGUGCUGCUAGCCAACUGCUUUCCAUCAGGGUGGUAAACCAGUGUAAGAACAUCAUGUGGAUGAGUAAUUGUUUCAACAGCACCUUUUCCAUCAAAAACAUCCCACAACCGAACUGUUCUGUCCCAUGAUGAUGAAGCUAAAGUUGCCUACAUGUGGAAGAAAAACAUCGCAUCAAGCUCCAACAGCUAUCAACGUUAAACCUUGCAAAUAAACUUUGGUUGCAUGAGAAAAUAAAAACAAUAUACAUAAAGAAAACACCUUAAAUCAUAAAUAGGAACCAACUCUAUAAAAGUAUAUGCAUCUGCAACAGCCCAAGUAAGCAUUAUAGAAGCAUGUGCAUUUAUAAUAAACCAACACAACAAUUAUACCAGCAGAACAAUCAAAUAUAAUAUAAGUAAACUCACAUUUGUAGGAGAAAACAUCAAACCCCAUGAAAACCAUCUCAGUUGAGCUUAUAAACAACAAAUUUCCCAUAGUAACUUGUUGACAAAUAGGGAAAUAGUGUUGUUGUUUCUACAGUGUUAUGAUUAUAUUUGAAUGAUAAGAAAGUGAAACAAAGAAUGAAAGAAAAAUGGUGAUGAACACAAAAGGAUUUCUGAUGCUUCUCUCUCUCAGCACACUCUACUCGUGCACUGUAUAAUGGUUAGUUAUACAGCUGGGAUCCUUUACACAUCAAAGUGAUCCCAGCCCCUCUUCUAGCUAUAUUCUAGGAUUCUUACACAUAGCAAUGUCAGCCUUACAUCAUGAGCCUUACACUUGGUAUUUUUAACUCAGGUGAAUACACCUUUAAAUAACAAAGCUUAUUCUUUCUAAUUCUAAUCAACUCAGAGCUUACAAUUCAACAAAUACAAGUCAACGAUUGUUUAUUCUAGCAGUUCGUCUCAGCGUGUUCUCAUCAUUGGCAGUUAUUGUGAGUGCUUUUCAGUUGGAGUUUAUUGUCUGGAUUCUUAUGCAUGUCAAAACUGCUAUAACAAGCCUGAGUUUGAGCACACAGUUUUUGAGAUUCAUCAUCACAUUGAAUCUCGUAAUCCACUUGCAUUUACUUCAAAAGUUGUUGACAAUGCCAUUGAUUCUUCGGCCAACUCUACAGUAAUCCAUGUCAUACUAUGGGUUGUUCUUUUGUGUUGUUCAUUUGGAAGAAUUAUGAGCAUGAGAACUGUCCACAGGAAGACCAGAACUUGAUGACCACAUCCUCAGCCAGGCACAAGAGAGGUUGCAAUUGCAAGAAGUCAAAGUGUCUCGAAAAAUACUGUGAACGGUACCAGGUUUAUAUGUACAUUUUUACCUUUCACUUCAGUGUAUCUCCUGUUGAUAUAUAACCCUUGAGCUAAUAUCUUGGAGCUAAAGUUACAAAUUUUGAUUUUCCUUUUAUGUGCUUUAUCUUGCUGAUGUAAUAUGAGCCAUUGGAUCAUAGUCCAAGUGGUCUCUUCUCUAGCAUAGGAUCUAAGUGAUAUAACAAGACAAGUGGCAUCAUCUCAUAGGAUGAUAGCAAUGUAUGGUUGAGAUUGUGUUGUGUAUUGGUGAGUGAAGGAUCUCCCUUCCUCUACAUACAUAACGGUUACAAAUGUAUUUUUGGAGAUAGAGUGAAAUUGAAGAGACACAUUCAAUCUUCUUCUCUCUCAUUUCUCUGUUUUGUUCUUCAACCUCCAACACAGAGAUCUCCAUUGAAAAACACAUAAAAAAACACAAACUCUAAUAUGGCCUCAGAGCCAGGUUCGGUUAUCUAAACUGGGCGUAAAUCUGUGAAAAGGAAACUGGAAUUGAUUCGAGCUGCAAUCUAGCUCAUACGACGAUCGAGGUGGUGUGAUUUCUUGAAUCCGAUGUCUAACAUGGCAGGAUCAGGCACUGCUGAGCUUCGCACACCAGUUUUCAAUGGAGAAAAUUAUGAGUUCUGGAGCAUUCGAAUGAAAACCAUUCUGAAAUCUCAUGGGUUAUGGGAUCUCGUUGAAAAUGGGUUCGAUGCUUCAGAUCCAAAGAAGGAGAAGAAGAAGAUAGAAGAGAUCGAGGUCACGGAAGUGGAGAAGCCGACGUUAGCUGAAAUCCUGAUGAAGGAUGCUCGUGCACUUGGGUUGAUCCAAGGUGCUGUCUCAGACCAAAUUUUCCCCAGAAUUGUGAACGAAGAGACCUCAAAGGGUGCUUGGGACAUUCUGAAGCAAGAGUUCAGAGGAGAUAAGCAAGUAAGGAGCGUAAAAUUGCAAGGUUUGCGUCGAGAAUUUGAAUAUACUCGCAUGAAAGAUAGUGAAUCCUUAUCUGUAUAUCUCACUAGAUUGUUUGAUAUAAUGAAUCAAAUGAAGAGUUAUGGUGAGGAUCUGUCUAGAGAGAGAGUUGUGCAAAAAUUGUUGAUUAGUUUGCCUAGAUCAUAUGAUCCUAUUUGCUCCGUAAUUGAACAUUCUAAGGACCUUGAAACUCUUGAGAUUCAAGAGGUAGUUGCUUCUCUGAAAAGUUUUGAACUCAGAUUGGAUAGACAUGCUGAAAAUUCUACUGAACGAGCUUUUGCUAGUCUAAAUGUUGGAGGUAAAAACUCUAAGGGAAUAGGUUAUUCUGGAAAUCAAAAGUUUCAGAAAAACUGGAAAUUCAAAGGAAAGAAGUGGGAUAAUAAGCCAAAUUUUGUUCAAAGACCAAAUGUCUCUAAUGAUGGAAACAAGACAGUUUGUAGACAUUGUGAUAAAUUGCAUUAUGGCAAAUGUUGGUUUGAAGGGAAGCCAAAAUGCACAGGUUGUGGGAAACUUGGGCAUGUGAUCAGAGACUGCCAUGGAAACAAAAAUAUACAGAAGGUGAACUAUGUAAACCAUGUUGAAGAAACUAGUACCCUGUUCUAUGCAUGCAAUGCUAUGACAGAUGUGAAGGUGAAUCAUUCAUGGUACAUUGAUAGUGGUUGUAGUAACCACAUGACAGGUGAUGAAAGGUUACUAAUCAACAUCCAAAGGAAUCUGACUUCCAGGGUGAAGAUGGGAACUGGAGAGAUUGUUUAGGUUGCAGGAAAGGGGACUCUUGUUAUAGAGACCAAAUUGGGAAGAAAGCACAUUCAAGAAGUGAUGCUUGUUCUUGGACUUGAAGAGAAUCUGCUAAGUGUUGGACAGAUGAUGGAGCACGGGUACUAUCUAUUGUUUGGAGGAAAUAUUGUGAGUAUCUUCGAUGGUUGGUCAAUGGAUAAUCUUGUGGUUAGAGUGCAGAUGACAAACAACAGGUGUUUUCCUCUUACAAUGAUACCAGCAAAUCAGAUAGCCUUGAAAGCAAGUGUGACACACUGUAUGCAGAUAUGGCAUAAGCGUUUGGGGCAUCUAAAUAACAGAAGCAUCAAAAUGCUUGAAGAUCAAGAAAUGGUUCAUGGAUUGCCUCAUUUGGAGAAAACCUCUGUUGUGUGUGAAGGCUGCAUGCUAGGAAAGCAACACAGAGAGUCUUUUCCAUCAAAAUCAGCUUGGAGAGCAAAAUUUCCUUUGGAAUUGGUUCACACAGAUAUCUGUGGACCAAUACAAACUGAAUCUAUCUCUGGAAAUAAGUACUUUCUGUUGUUCACUGAUGAUUGUACUAGGAUGUCUUGGGUAUAUUUUCUCAGAAACAAGUCAAGUGCAUUUGAUUGUUUCAAGAAGUUUAAAGCAAUGACAGAGUUGCAGUGUGGAUAUAAGGUGAAAUGUCUAAGGAGUGAUCGGGGUGGAGAGUUCUUAUCAACUGAAUUUGAUAGUUACUGCAAUGAGCUUGGAAUUCAAAGGCAAUUAACCAUGGCAUAUUCUCCUCAACAGAAUGGAGUAGCUGAGAGGAAGAAUAGGACUGUGGUGGAAAUGGCAAAGUCUAUGAUGCAUGAAAAGGGUCUUUCUUAUGCAUUUUGGGCAGAGGCUGUGAACACUGCAGUCUACAUACUUAAUAGAUGUCCCUCAAAGUCCCUCAAGAAGAUAACUCCAUUUGAAGCAUACACUGGUAGAAAACCAGGCAUUGCACACUUGAAGAUCUUUGGGUCACUAUGCUAUGUGCACAUUCCCUCAACACUAAGGCAUAAGCUUGAAGAAAAUAGUUGCAAGUGUAUUUUUGUAGGCUAUGGAAUCUGUGAAAAAGGGUACAGAGUGUUUGAUCCAAGUUCUAAUAAGAUCAUCCUGUCUAGAGAUGUACACUUUGAUGAGAAUGCUUCAUGGGAGUGGGAGAACACUGAUAAGAGUGAAAUACAAGUUCCCAUGAUUAUUGAGAAUCAAAUGGAAGAUUGUAGUGAAAGACAGAAUCAAGUGGAAGUAUGUGAACCAAGACAAUUCUUGGAUACAUCAACUCAAGUGGAGGAUGUUGUUGCAUCACUAAGUGAGAAUGUUUUCGAAAGUUCUCAAACAACUGAUCACACACCACAGAAAUGGAGAAGUGUAAAUGAGAUCAUGGCUCAGUGUAACAUGUGCAUUGUAGAACCUGAAAACUAUGAAGAUGCUAUUCUAGAUGAGUCAUGGGAAAAUGCAAUGAAAUCUGAGCUUGAAAUGAUUGAGAAGAACAACACAUGGGAGCUAGUUGAUAGACCAUUUGACAAGCCAAUCAUUGGUGUUAAGUGGGUCUAUAAAACCAAGUUGAACCUUGAUGGAUCCGUGCAGAAAAACAAGGCCAGACUGGUGGCAAAAGGUUAUUCCCAAAAGCCUAGGAUAGAUUACAAUGAAACAUUCGCCCCAGUUGCAAGAUUAGAUACUAUUAGGACCUUGAUAGCACUUGCUGCACAGAAGGAAUGGAAUCUAUAUCAGUUGGAUGUAAAAUCUGCUUUUCUGAAUGGAACUUUGAAGGAGGAGGUUUAUGUUGAGCAGCCAAGGUUUUGUGAAGGAGAGUGAAGAAACCAAGGUGUAUAAGUUGAACAAGGCUCUGUAUGGGUUGAAGCAAGCUCCGAGAGCUUGGUAUGAUGAGAUAGAUUCCUAUUUCGGCAAGGCAGGUUUCAAGAAGAGUUCUAGUGAAGCAACACUUUAUGUUAAAACUAGUGAAGCUACAGGUAUCAUUAUUGUUUCAUGUGGACGAUAUUGUAUAUACUGGAAGUUGUCCAAAACUACUCGAAGAGUUCAAAAAUGACAUGAUGCAGCAUUAUGAGAUGACUGAUCUGGGGUUACUUCAUCAUUUUCUUGGCGUGGGAGUAGUGCAAACAGAUAAAAACAUUUUUAUCCACCAGAGAAAAUAUGCAAUGAAGCUUAUUGAGAAAUUUGGGAUGAAAGAUUGCAAAUCAGUAGCAACACCACUGGCUGUGAAUGAGAAGUUAUGCAAGACAGAUGGUAGUGAAGCAGCAAAUGAAAGUGAAUAUAGACAAGUUGUAGGUAGCUUGUUAUACUUGACUGCUACAAGGCCGGAUAUAAUGUUUGCUUCUAGUUUACUUGCUAGAUUCAUGCAUAACCCCACAAAGAAACACAUGGGAACAACCAAAAGGGUGUUGAGAUAUAUUCAGGGCACUCUUGAUUUUGGAAUUGAAUUUGUAAAAGGGAAGACAACUACUUUGAUAGGGUACUGUGAUAGUGACUGGGCAGGAAGUGAGGAUGACAUGAGAAGCACCUCAGGAUAUGCAUUUACACUUGGAUCCGGUAUGUUUUCAUGGGCAUCAAUCAAACAAAACACAGUGGCACUGUCCACUGCAGAAGCAGAAUAUGUCAGUGCUGCAGAAGCAACAUCACAUGCUAAAUGGCUAAGGUUUGUGCUUGAAGAUUUUGGUGAGGAGCAAGUGGAAGGCACACCAAUUCUGUGCGACAACACUUCAGCCAUAGCAAUGGCAAAGAAUCCAGUUCUACACCAGAGAACUAGGCACAUCAGUAGGAAAUUUCAUUUUAUCAGGGAAGCUAUCCAAACAAAGGAGAUUGAACUUGUCUACUGCAAAACAGAAGACCAGAUUGCAGAUAUACUGACCAAGGCUCUGUCAAAAGAUCGAUUUGUCUACCUAAGAGAUCUACUUGGUGUGAAAUCAGCUAAAGGGUUAGAAGGGAGUGUUGAUAUAUAACCCUUGAGCUAAUAUCUUGGAGCUAAAGUUACAAAUUUUGAUUUUCCUUUUAUGUGCUUUAUCUUGCUGAUGUAAUCUGAGCCAUUGGAUCAUAGUCCAAGUGGUCUCUUCUCUAGCAUAGGAUCUAAGUGAUAUAACAAGACAAGUGGCAUCAUCUCAUAGGAUGAUAGCAAUGUAUGGUUGAGAUUGUGUUGUGUAUUGGUGAGUGAAGGAUCUCCCUUCCUCUACAUACAUAACGGUUACAAAUGUAUUUUUGGAGAUAGAGUGAAAUCGAAGAGACACAUUCAAUCUUCUUCUCUCUCAUUUCUCUGUUUUGUUCUUCAACCUCCAACACAGAGAUCUCCAUUGAAAAACACAUAAAACACAAACUCUAAUAUCUCCUGCUUCUGAAACAUGGUGUUUCUCCGAGUUCAUUGAACUAGAUUUGGACAAGGAACUUGAUUUAUCAUUUUUUUUCUCCUUUUUUGUUCCGGAAGGCUAAAGUUGGCUGUUUUGGAGGAUGUCGAUGCGAGGAUUGCCAAAAUACCUUUGGCACUAUGGCAGGUCAGAUUUUGUUUGAUAUGAUACACCUCACUCUUUUGGUCUUCACUCGUUCUUUUUUGUAUACGAGUGUACGACUAUCGUGUUUCAGCAGCAUAGACAAUGAAACAAUAGAGAUUUAAGAUGGUUUUGUUCUGUUAUCCUACAAUUGCAGAGUCAGUAUAUAACGGAGCUAAAAGGUGGGAACCCCACCCUACUGCGAAGCUGGCUUCGAGCAUCAAUCAAACUCUCCGACAUUUGAAGUACCUUCUGAUAUAAGCAAAUCUUACACCAUUGAUAAAUCCUACCUCACGUCCAGCGAUUUCUUCAGCUUCAUCAAGUAGAAGAAACUCUGGGAAAAUUCCACAAGCGCAACUGCCAUCAAGUAAGCAUCCAUCAAAUACUGGACGCUUGAACUGGGGCUGUUCACCCGUCAUUGCCACCCAGUAGUUACCUGAAGGUAACGUUCCCUGUGUACUGAGUUCUGCUGGUGCACAUCAUGACAUGAUGGAUGAUGAUACACCUGAGAUACUUGGGGAAACUUCUUACCCUUCCAAGGUUGUAAUGGUUAGCUCACCAAACAAGAAACGUGUCUCACUUCCACAAUCCCCGAUCCAGGUUAAGGUCGAGCUCUCCUACAGGCUUGAGAAGUGGCCGCAAAUUCAUUUUGCACGCUGUGCCUUUUUUCCCUCCUCUUACCCCGUACCACACUUCUAAAGAAGGCACUAGUGAAAUUGGGAAUGAUGAUGGAGCUACCAACAAGAACAAUUGGUACGAGGCACGAUUCGGAUGUUUUUCAGAGCUGAUUAUGGACAAUCUGCUUACAGCUUACAGCAUUGAGCAGAAUAACUGGACAAAGCUACUGAUCGGCUUCCAACUUCCGCAAAUUCAUCCAAAGACUACCUCUGUAUUGCCAGAAGUUCGGUAAGCCUUGUUCUAAAAGGCAGUGCUAUUUCUUGAUGCCAUUGCAAAGCUCGGUCAUAUCGUUGUAUCAAAAAACAAGCAGUCAUUACUUGAGUGCAAACUUGCAAUUACUCUGUUGCUGCAAUCUGCUUUCACUCUUAUGAUGAACUUGCAUGCUCCUCUUGCAAUAUCGUUCUAUCAAAAUACAAAAAAUAAAAGUACAAACUCGUAAAAUAAUAUAAUAAUAAUAACAAUAAUACAUUAAUGAAUACCAAAACAAAGUACAUCCAAAAUUCAGUCCCUACUCACUACUGCCUACAAGUGGUAUACAAAUAUCACACCCAAAACUUUAUUUGUAGGGAAGAACAGAACACAAAUGGGAAUUAGAAAGGUCAAUCUAGCUGCUGUACUCAUAUACUCCAUGCCCCAUUUUUUAUAACGCCUACUUGUACAUGUGCGUUUCUCAUUCAUUAUUGUUAGAUACAUACUACUUCCUCAUUAGCUCCAGGCGGAAACUGUCAGAUUUAUGAGCGAUACCCGUCAAGCCCCAGCCGUGCAGAAAGCCAACUGGAGACCUCAUUCAUCUCUUUAGGGAUAGUGUAGUGGCCGAGCCUGAAAUGUUAAACGAAAUACUCAGAAAAUCUGCUUAAACCUCAUAAGGGUUUGAACAAGAUAUGUUAUUUGAGUAUGUUUUUCUUAUGGAAAUGAAUCUUUACCCUUCAAAUGGUUUGAACGAAAGGUAUCGGAAUCCUGCUGAAGUCAAGCACUGGACUGAUUUCUCUCCAUAUUUGUAGGCUACUUCACCAUCACCUACAAAAAAUGUGUGAUCAGUUUCGCAUACUGAUUGUCGAUCAUCUACAGUGCAGCAUACUGGCUUCUGGUGUGUGACAUAUAUCAAGUGACCUAGAAACUGUUCAAAUAAAUGCAAACUGCAGUAUUGGCAAAAAAAGUUCUAUGGAGACAUACUGGUUCCAUGGCAUUGCAAAAUGGGUAAUGAUGCGGCACGCCUCAAAGCCUCGUGUGAACCUUCUAUUUUGUUCCAUAAGCUCCUGCACAAAGUUGCAAACCUUUUAAUUGUCGGACAUGGAAGUCUUUUGAUAUUGAUACUCGGAUCAACGGGUACAAAGUCAUACCUUGCUCCUGGAAGCCAGCCACUUAGUCCAACAACUGCCCUCAGAUUGAGAGGGUAUGGGUUGCCAUUUCCGUACCUACCCGCAGCAUAACAAGUUGCAGAGUAAAGGGCCAUUGCAGCACCCAUGCUAAAGCCUCCAAUACCGACUUUAACUGCCAUAAGAAAACGUGAUAAACAUUUCAAACAUUCAGAAAUGAAAACAACCUGCAUAAACUCGGAAUAAUUUCUUGAAAACUUGUGCACGUUUUAACAAUGAUGAUUUGUAAGAAACGGAGGAAAAAGAAUCCCAGGAAGUUAAUAAUUUUAAAGUAGUUUAGAACUGAACGCACCAUCAGCUGGCUCAGUUGACAACAAGUUCGCAAUAUGCGCUGCUGAAGCAUCUAAAUUCUCCCAAUCAUCUGGACCAUCAUCUGAAAGCUCUCCCAUUUCAAACCCUGAAAAAGAAUCGAAUAAUUCAGAAGAUUAUUAUCAAUAUCAAAGCACCACCAGAUACUGGAUUUCAUCUGAAGAAAUUUAGUUUUUCUUUUCUUUGGUUAUGACUCAUGAGAGUAUGAAGUGCAAAGCAAACUACUUCUUCAUCUAACCGAAAUAUAAUCUUACAUGCAGUGCAAGGAAAUCCACCUAGUACAGCCACAGGACGGGUAGGAGCAGUUGGGCAGAUCCACUUAAUCUGUUUCAUAUAUUACCAAAGGUAAUUAACGCACAGGUUGAACAAAGUAGAGAGAUAUAAGCAUGUGCGAACAGAAAUACAAAUUCUUAAGCUUACAAAAUAGUUGGAGAGACAUAUAUGCUUACAUUUGGAAGUGGUAGAGAUUCCAACAUUUGAGAUGUGCUACAGAGAGAAGGAGCAUAACAUGAGACAUAUAACUCUUACAUUAUUCAACACGCAGAAACUUCAACGGCUAAAAUAAAUUGAAACAGCAGGUGAAGCCUGUGCAGCUCUUUUGAACAUGACAGCAUACUAGUUGAGAAAGCAUCAACACAAGCAAUGAAAGCACAAGUGCGGUAAAAAGUCCAGAAUUGUAUCGAGGAUAAAAGGAACGGAACCAGUUCAUGUGUUGAUCAAGUAAGAAUAAUCAAUACUUAGAAAGCAUAUCAGUAAACAAAUUAAGUGUAUUUCUGGUUACCCACUUGGAGAACAAAGUAAACUAGCGGUCCCCCAGUAAUGACUUUGGCAUAUACUAUUUCCAAAUCAAGGCUUCCCAAAUUAAGUUUGCCAUGGAUCAGAUUAGAAGUGAAAGGGACAUUUAUCAUAUCAUAUAAUCUCACGGUGCUACUGCUCUCUUAAUCGAAUUUAUUCGAUUGAGAACCUCACUGAAAAGAUGCUGAAAAGAUGUAUAAUGGAGCCCUCCUUUUUCAAGUUAUAGAGUAUGUACAGGUGUUGACAUUUCCUGAAACACGAUUCAUUUUUCUCAUAUACGAAAAAACCAAAAAGUUCAUCCUUCCAUUAAAGGACGUGUACUUCAUACAAAAGGGAAGGAAUGAAGAAUUAUAUUGACCGGUGAUAAUAAAUCAGGUUAUAAACACCAAAUAUAGAAAAAAACCUGUCUUAUGAUAAAGUUAAUAUGAAAUGGAGAAUGAUGUAGUUUGGCGGUGUAAUGGAAAAGCACACUUGAUACUCAAAUUCGAUUAUGAACUUAACUAUUUAACUGAGGAUUACUACUGUAAACUGCUGAGUAGGAAACUUAUAUGGUAUUCAGGUUGUCUGCUCUAUGCGCCACAACAUUAGUUGGAAGAACUUCUCUAUGUGCCACAACAUUGGAUAGAGUAUCUUCAAGAGAAGGCCUAUCAGAUACAGAACCGCAACAACGUACGGUAUAUCACUCACAAACAGAGCAAAGGAAUAGAAAGGGACAGAGAAACAGUACCUUGAGCCGUUAUCUCCAAGUCCAUGCAGCCAGACCAUUGUUGCUUGAUGCUUUCCUUUGGGCCUCACCACAUGUGUCCUACCAAACUCAAUUCUCUUAGCAGUUCUGCUACCUGAAAUUUUUGUCAACAAAAAGUGGCUACUCAGCAACUAUACAGGUUUAUGCUGCCACAAUUCUCUUUUUUCAAGGAUAUGGACCAAGAAAAUCACCGUUCAUUGCACUAGUAGAAAUCAAUAAUAAGAACACAAAACUUAAGACAGCAAAAACUGGAAAUUGAGUUACCUAACAAUUGAAUGAAAUAUAGUAAAGAUAUAUAGACUUGAACAAAUUUAGACAAUGAAAGGUGCUAAUGCUAUAUAUAUGAUGGGCAGGAAACCAACCAGAAGACAUGUUAGAAUGCGUAUAGCUCAUCUUUGUGUGUUUUUCGGGUAAGCUGCUGCGCUAAACAGGCCGCUCUAUUGCAACAAGCUAGGAGAAGGCACUGCAAUGUAGAAAACCCAGAAUGAGAGUGUAUUUAUAGGCAAAUGGGGUUGGGGGGAAGAGUGAGAAAAAUGGAAUAAAACAUGUGUUAAUAUGCAUCAUUUGUCACUAUUAAGAUCAGUGUGCAAUGCAUACCAGCUACGCCAAAAACCGCCUAGAAACUCAAAAGGAGAGAAAGCACAGCAAAGCAAAGCAUCAAUGAAAAGGAGAGCUAAAGAAAGGGACAAAAGUAGGAAGAGAGCAGAGAGAAUCCAUGCCAGAGUUGAGCACAUUCAUCCAUUCAUUAGAGAGAGAGAGCUCUUGCAACAUAGACAGACAGACACAGACAACAUCUAGAGAGAGAGAGAGGAAUCUAUGCUUGUGGGUAGCGGCCAGAAAUAAAGCAAAAAUCAAACAGCAACACCAAAAACUGAAAAGAAUAUUGCUGAAAACAAAAGAAUAACCCUAGUUUGUGAAAGAAAAAUAUCUUUUUUUUUCCAAUCAUUAGUUAAUGAAUUUUUCUUGAUUGAUGGAUACACCUUAACCACUAUUAAAGUUUUUCAAGUAUUACAAUUUCUUUUUUCUGGUUUACAUUCUAGUGCUCAUUUUCUAAACAUGAUAUUAACAAGUGAAAAGAAGCAGGAAACCGUAAGAACGAAGAACUGGCUUCCAUCCAGCCUCCAGCUUUCUCUAUCUGUCACUUGUACCCUUUUUCUUCUUAUAAAUCUUAAUGAAUUUCUGAUUGUAUAUACAAUAUUGCUACCAAGACAUACAUACAUAUAUAUAUAUAUAUAUGUGUGUGUGUGUGUUUGUGUGUAUGUGUGUGUGUAUAUAUAUAUAUAUAAUAAACAAUAAUACUAUAAUAACUUAUAUUUCCAAAAAGAUUUGUGCAUAAAUCACCAACCUGGAUUUGUUAUAUGGAAGAGACAAGGGGAAAAGUAUGGGAACUUUUUUCUCUCCUUCCAUCACCUUUUGCCAAAUGCCAACUUUCUUACUUUCCAUACCGAACCCCCACCUUUAAAAGUUUUAUCUGUUCACAUUCAUUACAGACGCCAACCAAAAUCACUAGAAUUUUUUUAGCGGUGACAUGACGUUUCUUUUUCAUAAUUUUAUUAUCUUUUUCAUAAUUUUAAUAUCAAACGAUAUUACUAUUAAGCUAACUCUUAAAUGACAAGUAAUCGUAAAUAACAAGUUUGAUAUCAAUUUAUUAUCCAUUUUUCUUAGUAUAAAUAUAUCAUUUGUAAAAAAAACAGAAAAAAAAAAAGUGGAUAUGAAAGAUGCAACGAGUUAAAAGAGAAAAACUUUAUCUAACAUGGCAAUCACCACUUACGUCCCAUGAUGUUUUUAAUCUACAUAUUAUAAUAUGAGUGAACAUAAUAAUGUCAUAGACUUAAAAGCAGUGUUAAUUAAUAACACACAUGUUUAUGUGUGGAUUAAUUUGUAAUACCAGAUUGAAGUGGAGAAAACUUACUCGUCCCAAAAAAGUAGUGUUAAUUAAAAAUGAAUAAUCACAUACAUCAUUUCUGAAGUCGAUCUAAGCAUCUCUAAGGGACUGGUUAAACUCACAUUAUAUUGCUUUAGCUAUUCUAACCUAAAACCACUCAAACUUUAGAGACUAGUUAUGUUUCAUCUUAAAACAGCUAUGCGAAUAGUUGCCAACUAUAUUUAGCUUAUGAGGAGAGUGAAAUUGGAAAAAAUUUAAACUUCUUUUUUUGUCAAAUUGCACACAUUGCAUGUGACUCAUCAUAGUCGGAUGAGUCAUCAAGAGUAACACAUGUCAACAUCUGAGACAUCCACCAAACAAAUCAAAUCAAGAAAAAAAAAACUGCAAAUUAAUCCUAAUUGAUCAAAUCCCUCAAUUAUGGUUUAAAUCCCUCAAUUAUGCUACCUAGUGCUACGGUCUAGUAGUAUUCAUCUUCACUUGUACGUGAGAGGUCUUAGGUUCGAUUUUCGCCAAAUGCGCAUUUGAACCACAUUACUGCUAGCCCAUUGUGAGGCUAAGCACACCCCCUCCCCCUCCCUUAAUGUAGAUAAUAUCGCUUGUUCAAAAAGAAAAAUCCCUCAAUUAUGGUUUAAUACUUAAACUACUUAUUCUGAAUUAAUUAGUGACUAAAUUAAAUCAAUUAGUCUAAUUAAAUUAAAUCAAAUACAGAAAGGGAAGAAUUAACUCUAAUUUGGUCAAAUUCUAUCACUUAGGGUUUAAUUUUCUAAAUUAAAGAUCUGACUUAAUUAAGUGCUAAAUUAAAUAAUUAGCUCAAACUAAAUCAAAUCAGAAAGUCAACCCCACAAAUCUCUCGCUUAUAAAUACUAGACUCCUUUUCAAGAAAGAUGACUUUAGAGAAACAAAGUAAGUCCAAACCAUUGGAGAAAACCAAAAAGCUCAAUGGCCGAAGUAAAUACCAAACUCAUCAAACUUGUGGAGAAUCAACAAGCACAACAAAUACACAUCAAUUAUCCACACCAAAGCCGAAGACCACCACGCGAAACUGCUUAUGGUCUCGUUUUGUUCCAGAUCAAACCUUGAUGGCCCCUUGAAGAAAUCUCGUUCCGAUUCAAGAUCAAGUGCUGUGCUUUUGAAAAUGCUCUAGAUUAACCCAAAAAAAUGUUUUCACAUCGUCCUUUAUUUCCUUUGGCAACAAGCAAGUUAACGCCAGAAGUUUUAAUUAUGAUUAAUUCAUAUUCCGAUCCUACUUUAACCUCAAAUGCUGUUAUCCAUACACGUACAAGUUUAACUCUUUGUUUUGUUCCAAAUUAUUUUGUAGUUGGUCACUCAGAAAGUGGCACAGGAAUAAAUCCUGGUUUGAUUGUGAUAAAUUUGAUAACAAGAACCGCCAAUUACUUACUAAGAGGCUCCAUAGAGAAUUAGAUUAGGGUCCAAAGCACAUUAUGCACCACUAAGAUGCAGCAUCCAUGCAACAUGGUGAUGUGCAAGAAGGUUUCCAUUAACUUUCUCUGCUUUACUUUUUAUUUGUUUUUUCUUUCUUUACCCUUGUGAAAAUUUUAUGCAAAUUUGAUAACUAGAACAUUUUUUGUUCUGCACAGAUUAAUGUAUACGAGACAAUUCACAUAGCAAGAAAAAUCACAAUUAAAAAAAACUUCAGUGUUAAUUGUUUAUGAAUGCAUGCAAUUAUAGAUUUUCUAAUAAAAACUUCCCACUCAUUAAUUUUUUUUAUCAACCAACAAUUAUUUACGAAAUUUAAACUCACGAUCUCUUCCAAAAAGUAAAUAUAGACUAAAUUAUCAUAAUUAUCAUUAACACAAACCCUAUACUAAGACAGUUGACAAACAUCUUUAAUCUGGAAAUACUUCUAACAGGCAAACGGUAGUAAAAUGGCAGAAUCUAAUUACUUUACGAGGUCAACAUGCAUUAAGACAAGUUUUCCCUACUUUAUGGAAAUAAUUAUAGAUUAGUAGCACAACUUUUUUCCUUUUCAACUCCUUUCUUUUCCCACACUCCAUAGGGGAGAAUCAUUGUCCAUUAGAAAAAUGGGUUUAUACUAACUAAAUCUUUGUUUAAAACAGACGAUAAUAUGCUGUUGGCACUACUGUCUGUCAAUGGAUUUUAUUUAAUUCAGUUCAUGGUAGAUUUAUCAAAGGAUGCAAAUGGUUUAAGUUUCCACUUUUUGAAAUUUUGGACAAAGUAUCCUACUAAAAUAUGUUCAUUAAAUAUAGAGAGGGCGCUGCAACUUUCUAACUUUUAGAAACCAAUGCAGCUCACAAGUUACUAUGUUUGUUUGUUUCAUUUGCAAAGCUGGAUUGCACAAACAAAAGUCUAAUCUACAGGAGAAACAUCCAGGGUUCUUAAUGAACUUCAACCUAGCUAUUUGUUAAUGCAUAAAAAAGUUAAGCAUUAAGUACAUCUAGGCAAGAAGCAGGUUCUCCUCUAUUGACUAGACAGUUAUGAAUUGUACACCAUACCAUUUCUUUAGAGUAUUACUUUGUUUAGUUAGAUAAGUGAAUUAUCAUUUGCUUUGGCGACAUAUGAAAGAGGUCCUAAGUUCUAGUCUCAUGAACAAUAAUUUGUUUUGUUGAAUAAAUAAAUAAAUAAAUAAACAUGUAUAUAGUUGGAUUAGUGAAAAAUUACUCAAACAAACUCCGACAACCACCAUGGCAAGGUGACUUUUAUGUUAGAAUUUGAUCAUGAGUCUAAAUCUUUAGGCCGGCUAUUUUGUUCUUACUGAUAUAGACGAAUUACACGGAUUGUCAGUCUGAAAGAUUAUCAGUUUCAUACAUGCAUGGAUUCGAAUAGAAGAAUCAGAGGAAUUGUUUGUAUAUACAUAGUAGCCUCUACUCUCACCAAAGAUAUGCUUAAUUAUUGAACCAAGAACCUCUUAGUAGUUUAGCAUCGAGCUUUUGACAGAGAGGAGAAGGACCACUAUCGACUAUAUGGCCUAGUUCAUCGAUCUCUACAGGUGUUUUUCAUUCUUAUUUGAAUUACAAGGUUUAGAUUUAGAGCUGUCGUGGAUCCCUUAUCUUGCUCUUAUAGCGUCCUUAUAGAUCUUCUGUUGUGCUCUUAUAGAGCCGUUCUAGUUUGUAUUAAUGUUGUGAUUUAUUAACUAAAUUUUGAUCUAUGAGAGUUUAAACAUAUUCUUACAUUUUAUUGACUCCUUAAAAUUUUAUUUUCAAUGCAUUUGGAUUUGAGAGUCUAUAAAAAUUCAUCAAACUCCAUACACUAUUAGAAAUUAUCAUUUGCCCGAUGAACCAUUUUUCGUCAGGUCGAGACACUUUACCCAACCAAAAAACUUUGGUUGAGCAAAACUGGUCAACUUUUAGGGUUUUGUCAGAGGCUUUGGGCAACGAUAAAUGUUCCGAACCAUAGUACAAACCCCUGGUCAGAGUUUUACAUGCAGGGCUGAAAAGAUGGAUUCAAGGUGGAAUGGGCCUUUAACUUCCUAGAAUGAUUUAGAUGCCUUAGGAGAUAUUUUGUUAAGUUUAUUUUACUCAAUUCACUGAGCCUGUUAGGGUGCGUUUGUUGCACCGGACUAUCUCGGAUUGGAUUAGCUUCAGGGACUAAGCUAGACUUUCUUAGAUUAGACUAAACUGGACUAACUUAGUGAAGCGUUUGGUGUAGUGUCGGACUAAAAAUCUAAAUAAAAUAACAAAUUAUAAUAUUAUAUUAUUUAAUAUAUCUAAUAAUAUUUUAUUAUUAAUUCAACUUUGUUUUUCCCUAAAAGUUCGAACAAACACUUCUACCUCUCUCCAGAAAUUUUUUACUUUUGUUCCUCUUUGGUUCCGUCCCCAAUUCUUGCUUUCCUCCCAUCAUUUUCCUGCAAAAGGCUUCAAUACCAAGUUUCUUGCAAAAUCGUCCCCAAAGGUACCUUCUCCUCCCUUUCUGUCUCUUAAUCUCUCUUCAUCCCCAACUCUCUCCCCUUCUCUAUCCAUUUCUCUCCGGAAUUUUCUAGAGAAAAGGGAACCUUUAUGGGAAUUUUCUGGGAAUUUUCGAAAAUAAGGUAGAAUUUUUCUAUUGAGAUUGUUGAUGUUAUUGUUUUGCUUCUUCUUUUUUUUUUUCUUUUUUUUUUCGGAUCUUGGUGGUUGGAUUUUGAGAUUUAGGUUAUGAGUGGGUUUGGGUUUCAAAUUUGGGCAGAUGGAGUUGCCCAGAAGCAUGGAGACUUGCAGCUUUCAUACGACAUGCAGACAAUUUUGAGAACGGGACUAGCAAUCCCAUAGUUUUUGAGGGGUUUCACAAAGACCGGCUAAUCCCAUGGUUAGUCGGGGCGAGUGAAGGUUAGUGCCAUUAAAGUUAGUCCCAGCAGGUACCAAACACGGGACUGGACUAACCCUUAGUCCAGUCCAAUCCAGUGAGAGUUAACGAGGGCAAACAAAUGCCCCCUUAGAGUAAAACACUUGAAACUUCUCAUCCCUUGCUUCCUUAUCACGAAAUAUAGUUUAAUCCAACAAACUUUUCGUAGUAAACUAACUUCGAACGAAUGUUGAAGCGAUACAAGAAGUUUGUAGGUACAGAACAGAGCUAGAAGCUCCCCUUGGUAAUGUUGAUUUGGAAAAACAUCACCUCCUAAACUUAGUGUUUAUAAAGAUUUUCACCACGAUAAUCGGAGUACCACUCUACUCUGACAUCGAGUACUGAGCCUAUGAGAAAUCUUUUAUCCUAUAUUUGCUUUAAUGUAUUGAUCGGAUUGAGGAUGAGAAAGUGCCGAAUCAUACCUGGAAUGCCUCCAGAUCUUAAUGUCAGUCUAAUAUGUUUGAGCUACCUUGUUCGUUGAUAACAUUUUCAGAAGAUUAACCUAAAUGUUGUUGUAUAAAGUUGAGCAUGACUCUGAUUCAUUUUGUUCUUUCACCUUGCCCCAUUCUAUGUCCGAGGAUUUUAAUAGUCGCAAUGUGUCAUCAAGAAGGGGUUUCAUUCUCAAUCUGAAUUGCAUUUCCAUUAAAUGAAAGUUUGUUAGGGACUUGGUCGCUUGCGUCCAGGUCAGAAACACUUUUGGAAUCCUUUCGUCACACCUUAUGCAUUCAACCUGUGUUUUUUUUAUCGGACUACACUUAGCUGACUUGGCUAAUGCAUAUUAUCAGAGCUCCACUGGAUUAAAAUUCUUCUUGAGGAUUACCUAGUAUGGAUGCCUCAUUCAGACCUGCAUUACACACAUGGUGCCGUAAAAUGUGCUUGGCUUAGUACGCUGGUUGAGGGUAAAACCACAGACUGAAUUGACAUGGUCAUCAAAUAUGAUGAUCAUUUAACCGUUUGAAAAAAAUAAAAAAUUACGACUAUUUGCCUGACAAAAUUUACCUAUUUCUUCGGACUAACGUACCUAAGAAAUAGCAUAGGGGGAACGGGUGAGGGGUGGGGGGACGGGGGACGGGGGACGGGGGUGGGUAAGGUUGAGGAAAUAUUAGAAAUUUGUAGGAAUUAUUAUGAAUUCAAGGAAAUAUUAGAAAUUUUUAGGAAAUAUUAUAAUUUUUUCUAUAUUAUAAAUUUGUAGGAAUAAUAGAAAAUUUUAGGGAAAAUGAGAUUUUUUUUUGGUGUACUAAAUUUUUUUUUUGAAAAAUAUUAGAAACUUUUGAUAUAUUACAAAUUUGUAGGAAAUAUUAUAAAUUUUUAGGAAAAAUUGGAAUAUUAAGAAAUUGUUUGCAAUUUUUUCUAUAGAUGUCAUUAUCACUCACUGUCCUCAUAAGGCAAGGCAGCAUUAGGAUUGUUUACAAUCCACUAAAUAUUUGCCCGGACGUCGAAGUCAACAUGUGGUUGAUUGCCAAGAUGGAAGCCAUCAUCCACACGACGUGCCCCAUGAAAGCCUCUAAAUAAAAGAAACAUUUUCCUGAGGUGAAGGAGGCAAUGAUGGUAGUGCUCGCGCUAGGUGUGUGUUUGUUUUUUAAAUUUAUUAUUUUUAAUAUUUUUUUUUUAUUUUGUGUAUUUUUUUAACUAGCAUAUGUUUUUUUUUUUUUUUUCUAUUUCCGAACAACCACAAGAUCGAAGAGCCAGGUAUCUCCAAUUACAUAACCCGAUUAUGGAUUCAGCGGUUUAGGGAGUGGAUGCACGUGUGGCACUACAUGACCCUUGAAGCUCAAGAUGAAGAUUUGACUCAUCCACCCCAGGAUUUGGUGAAUAGAAUGGACGAGUGCCACUGGCUCUACAAUCAAUUUCAUAACUUAUAAUUUCUACAGAUGGACGUCUUUGAAAGUGAAGAAGUGGACAUUUACUUAGAGACAAUGUGCCACCAAGAAUAAACUCGUUUUUCAGUUUUAAUAUAAUUGUACGGACAUUUCAAUUUUUGAUAUAAUUAAUAAAUAAAAAAUUAUAUUGUGAUAUCUUUUCAGGUAAAUAUAAUAAUUAAAUCAAAUAUACUUAAAUUUUAUUUAUAUAAUUUUUUUUUAAAUUAAGAGUUUGUUCGACGAAAAAAGUGGCUAAGCAAGCAUUUUAUAUUCUAAUUUUUUUUCUUUAUAUAGCUUGCUCAACGAAAAUUUUGAUUGCCUAAAUAUAAUUUUUAUUUUAUUUUAAGUAAAUACAACUUUGUUUGAUGAAAUUAUUUAGUCAGGCAUGUUAUGUUCGUUGAGCAAAGUUGGUCAACGCACUAUUGCUCAACGGUUUUUUAUUUAUGUUGAGCAAAACUUCGUGCAACGAGCUUUGUGUGAUGAACUUGGCUCGACAAAGUUAUGUCGGGCAUUUCCUUAGCUGACGAAACCUUAUUAUGGGUUGUCUAGAAGGGUGUUAUUUUUGUAGUGAUAUAAGAAUACACUCGCUUAGUAAGACACUAUUAAUUUUGUAGCUCUCUCAUGAUAACAUGAUAUCUGAUGUUACAGAUAAUAACACUACAUAUUAUUCAAUGACAAUAACAAUACUUGUUAGUGAGUCGCAAUACAAGGAAAAACUUGGUACCACACAAGACUAUACGCACAUAAAAAUUUGUGGCAUAAGAAGAAUAUAGUGUUGGGUUUUCACCCAUACGUCUCGAGUACUUUCCUCUAAAUAUUGCAAUAGUUUUGAACCCUCUCCCUGUUCUUAAUAAUAGUUUAAUUGAAAAAAAAAAAUUUAUCUUUCUUUUUGGGUCGGCCACCUUGUAAACCAGCGUGAAGUUUUAUUCUUCUAUGAAAUAAUCCUUAGAUUAAUUGAUUCAUAUGGACUGAUUAAGUGAUGUUAAAUAUAUAAGCAAUAAUGUUUUUUACGUUUGUUUAGCGAUAUUGUUUCCUUCUAAUAUUAUAAAACUUAAUUGUCAGCUCCAGUCCUUUCUCUCCUUUUCUCUGCAAACUUACAUAAACCUCCAUCCACAGACCACCAAAUAGAAGUCAUUUUUCAAAUUCCAGGGGAGCUUUGUGCUAGGUUUUGUCUGACCUCGCUGUUCUUGUAAGGUUUUGUGUUUUCCCUAAUAGAGACCAUGUAUUUACUUUGCAAAACUCGUCUUCCGAACUAAAAAUUUGAAAAAACAAUGAAAAUACAUAUUUUUUUGGAAACUUUAACGAAAAAUCAUAUUUUUACAUUUAAAAGUCAAUCUUGGUACUAUUCACUUUACCCUUUAUUUUUUUCUUAUCAUUAAAACUCAAAGUUUUCAAGCCAUUUUUAUUAGUUUUCCUUAUUUUAUUUUGUCUACAGUUGAGCGGGAUCCCUGCUAAAAAACAGCUUUAAUUAUAUAUAUUCUGUACUUGUACUAGAGCACUGCUUUUAAGUGGAUCAAAAAUAGUAGACCAAGUUGAUGGAUAAAGCUCCACUCAUAUAUCGUAUAUGGCUUUCAAAUUCCACAUGAUUAGUUGAUUCAUAGAAUCAAGAUUGGUUAUAUUCUUUUCUUCUCAUUAUUAUAAAAAAGAAUGAAGAGUGUUGUUAUCCGUAAAAUCAAUAAAACUUGAUUACUAAGCGUUUUGGUGGCUGAGACAUCACUUAGGAAAGGUCUAAUUGUGGGCCUAUGAUAUCAUAAGAUAUGCAUUAGUCGAUGAAAGUUGCCUACUCUGUGUGUGGCCGACUGACGCAAACACAACUCAUAAAAUAAUUUGUAAUUCAUGUUUACAAUACCCAAGAACGCACUUGUGACGGCAGGCUGUAACUAAGAACUUGCCCAAGUGUUGCCAUGCAUGUUUAGUAGCUACCUUCUACUUGCUUGUUGAGAGGCUAGAUAAUUAUGUUGUUGAUAUACCUUAGCAGAGAUUUAUCUUGAUAUUUACUGAUAAUUGCGUUGUUUGAAACUUUGAUGUCCUUAAUUAUGGCCUUUGUCGGCAUUUCGCAUAUUACAUCAUUAAUCUCUUUUUAUGUUUUUGGCUGCAUAGAUAAGUAAUGAAAAAUGUUAAGGAGACUCUUUAUAGACUUUCUGUUAUCUCAUUUUUUGAGCACAAUUUUUUAUAAUGUUGCACGGAAAUUGUGUCAAAAACAUGAGAUGGUGGAGAACCCAUAGAGAAUCCCACUUUCAGAGAAUCUCUUAAGCAUUUCUCAUAAACAAUUUACAUAAACAAUAACGGGCAUACAAAUUAAGAACAUAUAUGGUGGGAUUCAAAAUCUCCACAAAGUUUUCCUUUCACCAAAGCAACAAAACCAAGUUUUGGCCGAGAGAUUGAAGUAAUGAAAUCGGAAAUAUGUAUACUUAACAUAUAACUACAGUUUCUCUUAUUUAGAAUUGAUUGUAUAAUCUAUCUCUGUCAUCACGUAAACAUUAGACUUAUACGUAACAUUAUUCUAUAAACACGUAAGAGCAUUAUGUACUCUAUCCUCUUUUUUCCUUUAUAAUUUUCCCCUUCGUUUGUAGAAACAGAAUGUCUUUAUGCUCAUAGAUUUAGGAUCCCUUAACAUAUAAUGAAAAAUAAAAAGAGUAACUGGUAAAUAUACACAUCGCUAUCAGAAAUGAAGGAAUGUUGGUUUGCGUACGUCCAAAUAUUUUGUCAUGCAUUUCUCAGCUCAUUUUUCUGAGUGGAAUGAAUGCUGAUUUUAUUCUUUAAUAAUUAUUGGUAAGAUUGUGAUGUGAGCCUUUGAAUCAAUCCCUUUUUUCCUAUUGUUAUUAUUCCCAUAUUACAUCCCGCCACAUAAUUGAUUUGGGAGCAAAAGUAUUACAGAAAAGUUUGGAAUAUAAAACGCCAAGUGCCAAUUUCCAUCGCUACCUCUUCUAUUUUCAGAAGUGGAUAUGAUAUUGGUAAAAUAAUAUACAAUACUGUAUACCUAAUUAUGAUAUAAACAGGCCACUUUGUACUACAAUUUAGUGAUAUUCCUCUUCACUUAUAAGUGAGAGAUUUUAAGUUCGAUUUUUGCUCAAGGCGAAUUUGAACCACAUUAUUGUUAGCCCAUUGUGAGGUUAGGCCCACCCCCUCUCAUUUAGUGUAGAUAAUAUCAGCUGUUUUAGAAAGAAAAAAAAUUAUGAUAUAAACACAUAUAUAUUAGGUUGAAGAAAUUGAUCUUGGAAUAAACUUUUAAAAUUUAGAUAACACUUUUUCAUUUUUGUUUGGUUAUUAACUUUAACUUCUUCAUUCUUCACCGACGUCUCUCCUAACAACUAACUACUUAAUCCACUGAUGUCGCUUUGCUAAAAACGUUUUGAGCAUGGCUUCAUUUGCUAAAUAAUAUUUGUGAAACCUAUAGUGUCGCAAUGGCAGCAGAGCGAAGCUGCCAAUCACAAAAAAGGGUGAUAUCGCGGUUGCAAACGAUGGUGGUGGGCAUUGGUGAAAGGCCGAGAACAGAGACACCAAACAGCAUCGUUUCAACUUUCUGGGUUCUAGGCUGUCGGCUUGAUGCAAGCCACUUGUUGUGCGGCUCAGGAGCAUAAACCUCGACAUUUGUUUGUAAACUUUGCUAUUAAACAUCAUUGUCUCUUCAAAAUCGUCGUAGUCUUCUCCAUUCACCCUAAUCAAGACUCAACUUUGAAAGCGUAAGCCAAGGCAAGUAAAAAUGCGAAAGGAAUACAUUUUGAAGGAAUAAUGCAGAGCAAAACCAUGAUCCAAGUGAACGAUUCAAUGAUCCGAGUGAAGAGGAAAUCAAAGGCCAAGUCAGUGCCACUUGUCAACAGAUCAAAUAGGUAGUUGUGAGAAGUUUGAUAAGGUUUGUUAAGAAUGUAGUUAGUUGAGAUAAGGUGGUUUAGAAUGUAAUGCAAUAGCUUAGCCUACAAGUCUUGUAAUAACAUAGCUAUAUAGACUACCAUUGUAAUUCAUUACUUGACAAUCAUGAAAAGCAAUUCUAGUUACUUCUGCAUUUCAUCAACUAAGUUUUGUGGUCUUCAUAUGGUAUUAUCGCCGGACUGUCCCGUGCUUCCGCUCAAUCUCUAAGAGCAAGUCCAGCCUUGCAUGUAGGCCGGGGGACAGGGGAGAAGAAAGGGCCCGAGGGCCUGUCAAUCACCUCCAGCCAUGAAGGGCCCGAGCUCGUGGAGAAGGCCCGAGCAAGAGGCCUGUCAAUUUGUGACAGCCCGGCAGCCCGAGCUCCCAGCCUUUUUUUUAUUUUUUUCUGUCAGGCGCGUGCACUCCACUCGCGCGUGGGGGCGCGUUGCCCGACAACUUUUCAGAAAAGCAGUUCGCUUUUCAGAAGGUCUCAGUUACCUUUGGGAAGCCACGUGGCUUCCCACGGUCCGUUCGAUCUCAACGGCUUCUUCAUUUGGACCAUUGGAUCUCAACGGUAAAAAAAAAAAAUAUCUUAUUUAAUAUCAACCGUUCGAUCUGAGAUCAACGGUCGAUAUUAAUAUGCUUUAUAAAUAAAGAAAAAAAAGUUUUAAAAUUAAGAAAAGUUACCGUUGUGACACGUGGCACAAUCUGGAGUGUUGGAAUUCAAAUUUUUUUAAAUCCAACGGCAGAGAUUAAUUUUUUGAAUAAAAAUAAAAAAAAUGGAAAAAAUCCGAAAAAAUUGUAAAAAAUCUGAAAAAAAUUUGUAAAAAAUUGUUUUUACUUUUCUAUAAAUACCACUUCUUCUCCAUCUACCUUACACCACAAUUUCAUAUUUUCUCAACUACUUUCAAUCAAAUUCCUAUCUUUUUCUCAAAGUUUCAAUCCAAUUUUUUUUCCACAAAAUGACUACUGAUGCAGGUACGAAUUGGUCGCUUCUUGAAGAUGUUGCGUUGUGCACUAGCUGGGUUGAAGUUACUCAUAAUUCCCUUACGGGUAAUGAGAUGCAGUUGCGAGAAAUGUGGAGUUUAAUUCAUACCAAAUUUCUUGAGCAAAUGAGUGGGAAAAGAACCAAAGAAUCGAUGUCUAGUCGUUGGAAAAUACUUAGCCAUUCCUUUAGUACGUGGAGAGAUGCAUUGACACAAGCUAGUAGUAAUGUUCGAAGUGGGGCAAAUUAUGCGGAUGAGGUAAGAAUAUAUUAUAAUUAUUUGUUUGUAUUAUUAUUUUGUUACCUAAUUUGAUUAUAAUUAUUUGUUUGUAUUAUUUAUUUGUUACCUAAUUUCAUUAUUAUUAUUAUUUGUUUGCAUUAUUUAUUUGUGACCUAAUUUCAUUAUUAUUAUUUGUUUGUAUUAUUUAUUUGUUACCUAAUAAUUUCAUUAUUAUUAUUUGUUUGUAUUAUUUAUUUGUUACCUAAUAAUUUCAUUAUCAUUAUUUAUUUGUAUUAUUUAUUUGUACCUAAUUUCAUUAUUAUAAUUAUUUGUUUGCAUUAUUUAUUUGUGACCUAAUUUCAUUAUUAUUAUUUGUUUGUAUUGUUUAUUUGUGACCUAAUUUCAUUAUUAUUAUUUGUUUGUAUUAUUUAUUUGUUACCUAAUAAUUUCAUUAUUAUUAUUUGUUUGUAUUAUUUAUUUGUUACCUAAUAAUUUCAAUAUUAUUAUUUGUAGCAACUUCAAGCACAAGCAUGGUAUGCUGCCAAAAUCAAAUCAAGAAACAAAUCAUUCACCCGGUGGGAAUGUUGGAAUAUUGUUAAAGAUUGUCCUAAAUUCAAAGUUGUGCCUGUUGGUCCAGAAGUAUGCAUGAACAGCAUCCCUCUACACAGCACCUUUGUACACAGCACCCCUCCACACUCUACACCCGAUCAUGGCUCCCAUGUUGAUGAAGAAGAUGGAGAAGAAGUGCCUGAAACGCACAUUCCAGAACAAGCGUCGGGGUCGACCCGUUAUCCAAUUAGGCCUCUAGGUAAGAAGGCUUCAAAGAGGAAAGGGAGUGCUUCCAAGAAUGAUUAUGGAAAGUACAUGCAAGAACUUGCUCGUCAAGGUGAAUUGACGUUGGUACGGGAAUUGGCAAAAUAUGAGGCUGAUAAGGCUAGAUAUGAGGUAAAAGCUGCAGCUAUUUAACAAGCAUUUCAAGCUGAACAGAGGGAAAAAGAGCUACUUAGGCAAGAAAGGGAGUUGCUUAGAGAAGAAAGAAUUGCACAACGAGAUCGUGACAUUAUGAACACGCGUUUAGAAGGGAUGUCUUCAAAUUCUAAAUAUUUUUGGCAGUCGGAGAAAGUGGAUGUGGUGCAAAGGAGGCUUGCAAGAGAAGCGAGAUCAAGACAAGAUGGUCCUAGCACAACAAGACAAGAUGAUCCUAGCACCACAGAUUGGUUAAGUGGUGAGGAAUAGGGUACUUUUGUAAUCGGAGCCCAUAGUUUUCCAAUCACUUUGGGUUGUAAUUUAUUAUUUAUGUUGUUUCCAUGUAAUCGGAAUAGGGUACUUUUGUAAUCGGAAUAGGGUACUUAUGUAAUUUAUUAUUUAUGUUGUUUCCAUUUUAUUGAAGUUAGUACUUUAUUAAAAGUGAGAGUACAUGUAUUUAAUUUCGUAAUAUAUUUAUCCUAAUAAUAGAAUCUUUAUUCAUCAAAUUGUUCACGUAUAAUGAAAUUAUAAAACACACCAAAUAAAACUAAAAAACUCACCAAUUGGAAUUACAUAAACACACCAAAUAAAAUUACAUAAACAUACGAAAUAAUAAAAAACUCACUACAAAAAACACUCCAAAAUAAAAUUACAUAAACAUACCAAAAAAAACACACCAAAUAAAAUUACAUAAACAUACGAAAUAAUAAAAAACUCACUACAAAAAACACACCAAAUAAAAUUACAUAAACACACCAAAUACAAACAAACAUACUAAAUAAACUUAAGUAUCUUCAGCUUGUUUCAAUGCCCACUGGUGCUCUAUCAAGUCAAUUUGCCGAUCAUUGUGCAUAGAUGACCUUCGAAGUGCAGUAUAUCGUUGAAUGACCCUUUCAUUGUAACGUCCAUCCCUUUCUAAUGGCUCGUGUUGCACAGGUUCUUCGGUGGCAUCAUGCGCACAAUAUAUCCGUGUUGAAUUGUUCAUUGUGUCUGGCUCUGGCUCAUAUUCAUCAACCGCAUCAUAAUCGAACUCAUCUUCCACAAUCAUGUUGUGAAGAAUGACGCAUGUCAUCAUGAUGGAUCGAAGUGACUCUACAUCGAACAUUCUGGCAGCACCCCUGACGAUCGCUCAACGAGCUUGAAGGAUACCAAAACAACGCUCCACAUCCUUCCCGCACCCCUCUUGACAGCUUGCAAAGUGUUUUUCCUUUGCACUUCACGGACGUGGCACUGUUUUGACAAAUGUUUCCCACCGUGGGUAAAUGCCGUCAGCUAGGUAGUAUGCCCCAUCGUACCUACGUCCGUUGACGACGUACGUGACUUUUGGUGCCUUUCCUUGCAGGACGUCGUUGAACACUGGGGAUUGGGCAAGGACGUUGAGAUCAUUUUAAGCCCCCGGAACCCCAAAAAAGGCGUGCCAUAUCCAUGUAUCAUAAGAUGCCACUGCCUCCAAAAUGAUAGAUUUUGAUCCUUUUCUGUCCCCGUAUGCGCCUUGCCAUGCACUUGGACAGUUUUUCCACGUCCAGUGCAUACAAUCGAUGCUUCCUACCAUCCCAAGAAAACCUCGCAUCUCGCCCUUCUUCAGAAGCCUUUGCAAGUCCUUAUGAGUAGGUUUUCGGAGGUACUCGGCGGUGUACAAAGAUUCGACUGCUCCGUAAAACCUCAUCAGGGCCUUAAGAAUGGUUGAUUUCCCCAUCCUCGUUAUCUCAUCCACUUGGUCUGCAGAUGCUCCAUACGCAAGCAUCCACAAUGCAGCAGUGAUUUUUUGCUCAGGAAGGAGACCCAUAACACCAUAAGCAUCCUUCUUUUGCACAAAGUAAGAAUCAUGGUUGCAAACAUCAGUCAUGAUUCUGUUGAACAAAUGUCGUUCCAUUCUAAAACGACGUCUGAAGUACGUAUCAAGAAAUGCACUGUUAUGGACAAAGUAAUCGUCCAACAGCUCUUCACCCCGUCGCUGCCUGCUUCUAUCAAGGUUUCUUGAACGGUUGGGCCUGCAUAUCUAAGCAACAGUCUGGAUGACUCGACUGGAAUGUGAGGCUCUGGCCAUUCUUGUUUCGUCAUCUCUCCUUCUACGCUCCUCAUCCUCUUCCAUCUCAUUUUCGGCUAUCUGAAGGUUGAACAUUCCUUCAUAUUGGUUAAACAAUUCUUCCUCUUGCUGAUCGAUUUCCCAUAUCAUCCUUGAUGAAGAAGAAGACAUUGUAAUGAUGGAUGGUGAAGAAGAAGCAGAAACUAUGAAUAAUGAGAUAGAGAUGUUGAGAAAAUUGGUGUGAGAUUUGUGAGGAUGGAUGGUGGAUUAUAUGGACGAUUCAGAAAGGAUUGGAUUGUAGAUAAGGCCACGUGGCAUGCCAUCAUUCGUUAAAAAUCUAAUCGAAAUCUAUCCUCAAAGAUUCUGAAAAGAUAAUGACACGUGGCACGAUCGUAUUGGAUAAAAAUCUUAUCGAAAUCGAUCUCCAAUAAUUAUCUUUUCGGAUAAUGACACGUGGCGCAAUUUUGAACGAGUUAAAAUCUGAUCGAAAUCUAUCGUCAAAGAUUCUCAAAAGAUAACGACACGUGGCACGAUGACAUUGGAUAAAAAUCUUAUCGAAAUCCAUCACUAAAUAAUUGUUUUUUUAUAAAAUGACACGUGGCGUAACGAGAAUGAUUUAAAAAAUCUUAUCCGAAAUUAUAAAUAAUUUUAUUUUGUAUUAUUUAAACAAACAAAAAAAAAACUAAUAUUUUAUUACCUAUUGCCAGGGGGGAAGGCUCCAAGGGUGGAGAUGCAAAUGGCAAUUACUGUUCAUUAAUGGCAGUUACUAUUCAUUUAAGGUAGUUACUGUUCAAAAGGGUGGAUUCAAUAGUGGAUUGUCAGAGGGGAGGGCUCCAUGGGUGGAGUUGCUCUAAGCAUUCAUUUCUCUUCUCUACCCUCUAAUUUGCAUUUCUCUAUGAUAAACUGGGAUCGAUAGACAUACCCAUCGCUCAGAAAAUUGGUUUCUUCAUUUCUGCCUACCCACUACUCGAUUAAAAGCUCCAGUGAAAGAUUUCUUCAGACUUCUCAAAAGUGGUUAUUGUCGCUCAGUUUGCAGAUUGUACAAUCUCCAAUCACAAGCCUUCUUUCAAUAAUGUUUACUUCUGUUACAGUGAAACUUGAAGACUCCAACUAUCUCACUUGGAGUUUUGAGAUCAAAUUACUCCUGGAAAGCCAUGGAAUUAUGGGUUUUAUUGAUGGUUCAAGAAAAUGUCCGCCAAGAUUUGACAAUGAUCAACUACUGAAGGUGUAGAAAAAGAUGGCUACUUGGUUUGGAAAAUGCAUGAUCGUGCACUCAUGCAACUGCUCAUUGCUACAUUUUCUACUAUUGACAUCUCCUGCAUCAUUGGAAGCAAAAGUUCAUCAGAAAUGUGGCUAAAUCUCAUAGAAAGGUUUCUUCUGUAAUAAAAGCAACGAUUUUCUAGAUGAAGACAGAACUCCAGAACAUCAAGAAAGGGUCUAAAUAUGUUUUUGUCUAUCUACAGAAGAUCAAGGAUGCAAGGGACCAUCUUGCGGCUGUAGGCGUAUUUUUCGAAGAUGAUGAUAAUAUCAUACUUGCCUUAAAAAGGUUGCCUGCGGAUUUCAAUACUUUUCGAUGUGUGAUCAGAGAAAGGGAAAAUGAGAUUUCUCUCAAAGAUUUCAAGUCUCAGUUAUUGCUCAAUCUUUUGAGUUUGCUUCUUCCUUGUCAUUUGGCAAUGCUAUGGUUGCUGGUGUUCAAUCUGAUAAAGGAAAAGUUCUUGUUCUUGAUCAAGAUUCAUCAGGGUCUACUUUUGAUCAAUCUUUCAAGAACAAUAGAGGGUCAAGUUCUUUUGGUUAUAGCUCUAGCAAUGGCUCAUACAAUAAUUUAAAUGGAAUAUCAAAACUAUGGUGGUAAUACGGGUUAUAAUUUAUGAGGCAAAAGAAGAGAAAGAUCUUAGUACAACUUUGGUCCCACAUUCUCAAAUGGCAAUCCUAGCAUUCUUGGUACACCAAAACCAUAUAAGUCUAACUGUCCUGAUUAUCAUUAUGAAAUCCCUACUUGUCAGAUGUGCAAUAAGAGGGGACAUGUUGAUGCAGAUUGUUAUCAAAGUCAUUACAUAUCAACCACUGGUUCUCCCAUUCAUUGCCAAAUCUGCUGGAAAUUUGGACUUGUAGUGCUAUCAUAUAAGCAACUUUGUUUAUAAAGGGAAACAUCCAACAACCAAUCCCACUACGAUGCAUGCCAACCAUCAACCUUCUGCACCCUGAGCUGUUUUGGAUUAAAGAUACUGGUGCCACUUCACAUAUGACUUCUGAGUUGGCUAACUUGGAACUUGCUACUCCAUAUCAAGGAAAUGACACAAUUACCACUGCGAGUGGUGCAAGUUUGCAUAUUUCUAAUGUUGGCACUCUCAGUUACUAGUUCCAGUUACUAGUUCCAAAUUAUUCACUUGCUCUCAAGAAUGUUUUACAUGUUCCAAAACUAUCUCAACACUUGUUAUCCAUUUAUCAACUUUGCAAGGAUAAUAGGUGCAGAUUUAUUUGUGAUGAUGUUUCUUUUUGGAUUCAGGAUAAAUUCACAAGGAAAAUACUCCUCAAUGGGUUGUGUAGAGUUGGAUACUAUAUUAUUCCAUUCAAAAUCCCAUAGAAGGUGUCACCUACAUCACCCGAAUCACACUCAUGCUUUCUCGCAAAACCAGUUAAUUCAAGCAUAUGGUAUAAACGGCUAGGACACACAUCCAAUGCAAUUACUUUUGCAAUUCUUCAUCAAUCUCAGGUUCUUGCAUCACUAGACACAUGCUCAUCUAUUUGUACACCAUGUUUAAAAGGAAAGUUCACCAAACUACUAUUUGCUUUUUUUGCAACAAAAUAUGUACACCCUUUAUACAUAAUGAUGUGGGGGGACCUACCCCUUUACUGUCAUAUGAAGGAUUUAGAUAUUAUGUAACUUUCAUUGAUGAAUGUACCCGAUAUACAUGGAUUUUUCCAUUACAUAAUAAAGCAAAAGUGUUUGCAACAUUGUUCAAUUUCAUGCCUACUUGUGUACUCAAUUUUUUGCAAAACUUAAAAUAUUUCAAAGUGAUGGUGGAGGUGAAUACAUAACACAACACACACACCAGCACACUGAUGCGAAAUAUAUAAGCACACAAAUUAAACCCUCUUUUUGACAAUUGUAGUAUAGAUGUAAGUAGGGUAUCGUUCUAGGCCGGGGAUUAGGAGGGAUUGCUAAUCUAUUCUAAAUUAAUUUAAAAAUAUUAAACAAGACUCAAGUACACAAAACUAGGCUAAAAACUCUAAUAACUCAAAACACACUUAGAAUGACUCAAAAUAAUGAAAACAAUCAAAUUAGACACUAGGAACUGAAAUGGACGGAAAUUGAAUUAAAAAAAACUAACAACAAUGAAAACUAACGAAAUAAUAUAAUUUAAUAAUGGGGGGGUUUGGUUUUGACGAGAAGUAAAUUAAACUUAAAUAAAUUACAGAAUUGACAAAAACAUGAAAUUAAGGUGAAAGGAUAGGUGAUGGAUUAGCUAGAGGGUUCUUCUCUACACAUGACACAUAUGCAACCUAAAUUGAUUUUCAGUUGUUCUUUCAAUAAAUUGUAAAUCUCAACGUCCCAAAUUAACCGUGAAUUGCACUAAUUAACCCUCAGUUUUUCCACAAGUUAUUGGGUUGGAUGAUUGCAUACGACAACCCAAAACAUUCCCUACAAGUUCCCUACAUGAAGUGCAUAAUAGAGAUACAAGCAAGAAUCAUUAAGUUCUAUGAAAAACAUAAGCAUUGACGAGGCACUCGUUACUAUGAUUUGCAUGAAACUUAUGCCAAGAAUUUACUUAACGUGAUUGUGACUAGCAACCUUCACUACUUGUGAAUAUAAGUUCAUAACGAUUAGGUGAAAUUUACUUAUAUUCUAGCAUCAAAUUCAUGCAUGUAAAUUAAGUAUGCAUCCUUAAUCGACAUACAAAAAUAAGUUAUCAAUCAAGCAGUUAAGCAAAUUAAAUCACAACUCAGAAAUCACAACUGAAGGUAAUCAAUUCAUAUUACAAAUAUAUUCAUGGCUUUGAAUUAACCUCUAGCCAAAAUAAAUUUAGUUACACAUUUUUAUCAAAUUAAACCAAAAGUAAAACAUAAGUUUGGAAAGAUUUAACCGAAAGAUGAGUGAAUUGGCGCUCCACAGGUUCUGCUCUCUGCAUCACGCUGCCCAAGAGGCAGCACACCUCCCUUUCUUCGCGCGCCUGACCUUGCUGUCCUGACUAAUCUCUGCUUCUGCUCUGCGCAGUAGCUGCUGCCUCUCUCCCCGCCACCUGUCUCUCACUCACCUCCCUUAUAUUUUCCGCAUGGCAAGUCCCUGACUUGCUCUCCUGCCUUCACUCCCCUCUGACUUCUUCUCGCUGACCCCGUGCUGCCAAAGGCAGCUCCCUUUCUCGUCAGUCCUCUCCCGAGGCUCUCUCUUUGCUGUCCCGUACUUCUCCCUUUUAUUUCCUCGCAGUCUUCUUAAUCCCUUUUUCUCGCUGACCCCCCUUCCCAGCUGCCAAGGGCAGCUGUUUUUAUUCUCUUUCUUUCCAGCUGCAAAGGCAGCCUUUUUCUUUCUUGUUUCUAAAAUUAUUCCCCCAGCUGCAAAGCAGCUCUCUUUCCUUCCUCUCGCCCUCUUUUCUUUUCUAUUCCGCUCCCAUUUCUUUUAUAUAUUUCUUGUUCCAUCCGCACCUCCACGUUCAGCCUUCCACCUAUUACUCUUAUUUUAUUCUCUCCCCACGUCAGUCUCUACCUAUCUUUUUAUUCCAUUCUUCUCUCGCUGCCAGCCUCUUCUGCUUGUCCUCUCGGCUGUCCCCCACUGCUCUCUUUCUUUAUUCUUUUCUUCACCUCCAGCUGCAACGCAGCUUUCACACUUCUUUCUCUUGGAUUCUCGCUGUCUUUCCUUUUAUUUUCAUUUAGUUUCUAGCAGCCUCACAUAGCAGAAAAAUAAGUUCUUUCGAUCAUGUUACUCCUACAAACACAAUAUAUCAAAAGUAUCAUAAAUACUUAAAGCUUCCAACUAAAUUA